This 64616-nucleotide long non-coding RNA is filed under the name Citrus maxima (pomelo). RNAcentral's name for it is "long non-coding RNA (CMAX_LNC002514)". The stretch from base 49990 to 50093 matches the Rfam family "Plant small nucleolar RNA R71". The record is from RNAcentral. Lineage: Eukaryota; Viridiplantae; Streptophyta; Magnoliopsida; Sapindales; Rutaceae.
AAGAAUCCUAGAGCAAUGAAAAAAGUUCAACAGGAAAUCAGAUCGUUGAUUGGGGGUAACAAAGGCUUUGUAAAUGAAGAUGAUGUUCAAGAACUACAUUAUCUUAAAGCGGUAGUGAAGGAGACAAUGAGAUUGCAACCCACAGUGCCAUUACUAGUCCCAAGAGAAACAAUUGAAAAGUGCGUAAUAGAUGGGUAUGAAAUACCAGCUAAAACACUUGUCUUUGUAAAUGCAUGGGCGAUAGGAAGAGACCCUGAAGCUUGGGAGAAUCCGGAGGAAUUUUAUCCGGAGAGAUUCGUUGAUAGCUUUAUUGACUUUAAAGGGCAACACUUUGAGUUAAUACCGUUUGGUGCUGGCAGAAGAAUUUGUCCUGGGUUGAAUAUGGGAAUCGCAACUGUGGAUCUUGCACUUGCUAAUCUUCUUUACAAAUUUGAUUGGGAAAUGCCGCCUGGAAUGAAGAGCCAAGACUUGGACUUUGAUGUUCUGCCUGGAAUUACUAUGCAUAAGAAGAAUGCUCUCUCUCUUUUGGCCAAGUAUCAUGAGUAGGUAAAUUAAGGCACCUUGGUCAAUAAGAGUUUGAUCUAAACUAAAUGUAUGUUAUAGAGAUUGCAUGUAUGUCCUCAAUUGUGCUUCUCAUGUUUCCUUUCUUUCUUCUUAUGUAUAAUGAAUGUUGAUGUCUAUGUGCCCAUAGGCUGAGUGGUUUUUAAUAAUUAAAUUUCUUUUAGUUCAAAAUUUUGGGAGGUAAGGACUAGAGAAUAAUGGUUACUCUGCUCACUCUCCUAUACUAAUAAAAAAAAAAGUUGAUAUGAAUGUGAAUAUUAAUCUACUACAUUCAUUUCGUCUCAUAUUUUUUCCCCUAUAUUUUUUGCUUUAGAUUUAACUUCUAUCACUUAAACUGCUAUCUUUUUAUAUGAUUGGAUAGAGAUUGAAAUUUUUGCUGUUCCAUCUCAAUGUUAAUGCUAAUUUUAUCUUCACACCUUUACUGUAAUUUUCUACUUUUACUAUUAGAUGCUGAUAGGGUCUUUUCUUGGAGAUUACUUUACCAAAAAAAGUCUGAAAGAAGAUUUUAUAUCGAUCGGAUAGCAAGCUUGUCCAUAUAGUUUAUGGAUUAUCUGCAAGAGCUCUUUUUAGUGCGCAUACGGUUGUCCCUUCAUGUUAGCAUAUUUAUUCUGUCAUCAAUGAACUUUUGCAUUUAAAUGGUAUCAGUUCAAGUGAUGAAUGAAUUUUACCUAUUGCCUAUCUUGGACUAAAUUUAAUUUCAAAAAAUGAGCUUCCAGCUUAUGACUUAUACGUAUCUUGAACUUUGGUUUUACGAUCACCGUUGGAUGGAAGAGUGGCUUGAGUUUGUUAAUUGCUUCAGUCCCAGGACUAGUGUUUGGAAACAUAAAAUUUAACACUCCCCAAAAUAAUUCAAUAUACAACCAACUCCGAUGAUCAACAUCCUCAACCAAAAUUCUAAGUUUUACUCAAGAUAUCUCCAGAGUCUCAAAAGAUAAUAUUAUAACUAAUAUUAAUAUACCUCAGUUUAUUCUUAAUCCCAAAAGAAUAAUAUAACAAAAUUAUACAAUCUAAAAAGAACAAGAUAACUAUGAUAUCCUAAUAAAAAAAAUCAUCUAUAUCUUCUAACACCAUCACGUGGCCAAGAUUCAAAAUAUAUUUACAGUCGCUGGGUCGGUUUGGUGUACCUGCAACCUCCUGGUGGGAGGAGGGAAUAGAAUAAAAGCGGGAUGAGUAUAAAACUCAGUGAGAUCAGUGAGUGGAUAGUAGUUUUCGAAAAAUUAAUUCUUACUUUAAAAGAAAUAAUUAUAUCAUUUCCAAACACGAUUUCAUCAAACCAUAUGCGAGAAACCAAUAAUAAAUCAUUUAACAUUUAAAUCAGAUUACUAAUCAUGAAAAUCAUAUAUAAUAUCAUGCCUAAUAACUAUGGAAAUCAUAUCACAAUAUCAUAUAAAAUACACAAAUCUGAAAAUCAUCACCAAACAAGUACCCAAGGGAAAAAUCUCGUCGUAUCCGGACCUCAACGGACGGGCAAUGACGUACUAUCUAGGUACUACCAUGCCCCAGAGCUACAUGGAUAGACAUGAAAAUACCAUCUCAUAUCUCAUCAUAUCUCAUUAUAUCUGUGCAUGCAUAAUCUAGUCCCCAAAGGAUAAAAUCGCCCAAGCACACGGCCCAAAGCCUCUGUGUGUACUCAGACGAAUUCCAAAGGCAUGUAUCUCAUCUAUAUCAUAUGUAUCUCAAUAUAUGUCUGUAUCUCAUAUUUGUAUCUCUAUAAUCAUCAUACCGCAUGCAUAUGCCCCCAAAAAGCAAAAGCGCCAAAACACACGGCCCAAAAUCUCUAUGUGUGUUUAGAUAGGCCCCAAAUGCCUCUUAUCUCAUCUGUAUCACUGUAUCUGGAGGGAAGGAUAUUGUCCAAUGAUUUUAAAAACAAUCUCUAUACUCAUAUUCAUAUACAUUCUAAUUAUACAUUUCUUUCUUUAUCACAUCUAAAUAUAUUUUUCUCAUCUUUAAAAUACUGUCAUAUUUUAUUCAAUGUUGAUACGAAAAAUCAUUAACCAAACAUUUUAAUAUAAUAUCAAUGCGUGUAUAAAAUCCAUUAUGAGGAAAUCAUUAAAUCAGAACAUUUAAAAUACUAUUUUCGCAAACGUGAUUUACUAUCAUAAUUAAUUAUGAAAAUAUGUUUUGUAUAUUUUACUCACAGCGACAGUGUUCACGCUCGGUUAUCGUCCACGUCUGCGAAUCGGUUCUCGCUCACAGAUCCUCCUAAAUAAAAGAAACGGCAUAAUUAUUUUCUGUAAAUCAGAAUUAAGACUAAAUUUAUGCAAUAAACUCGAAACGAACAUCUAUCCAUAAUUUACAACUCCCGUAUCGAUAGAAUUACUGAAAUACCCUCAAAUAUGUAAAUCGUUAAAAUACUCCAAAAUCGUAAAUUAUCGAAUUACCCUCGGAAUCGUAAUUACACCCAAUCCUCAAUUUCAGAAAUUACUAAAAUAUCCACAAGCUCAAAAAUUACAAAAUUACCCUCAGAGUGUGAAAUUACUGAAAUGUCAUUGUCGGUCAACGGUCACUGGAAUUUAGUCAACGCUGUCCGGGAAGCUCAAGUAUAAAAGUUCCAAUAACGCUGAGUCUAAUAGUGCCGGCGGUGAGGUCCCACAUGCGGCAACGACGCCGUGAAUUUCCAACAAUUGGCCGGCGGCGAAACAGUGACUCCCGGUGACUGUAGAUGGUCAGGAAUUGAAGAGGGAGUUGUGGGGAACAAAAGUGAGGUGGUGGCGUGGUCAAAUUCCAAUAGAAUCAACGGCAAUGGUAUGGGUUUUGGCCGCGGUUUCUCAAGCUUGAAACGGCGACGAUCCCGUCUGCUUUCAGCGACAAUGACGACUGGGUAUGAUGGCCGGUCUUCAAGCUUCAGAUUGGUACCAAGCUUGACCGGUGGGGUGGCCAGAAUCGCAAGAUAUGGCCGGGUCAAUUUCGGGUCAAAACGGUCGGGUUUUUGGGUCGGUUUUGACAGCUUCUCUCUCACUCUCUCACACGUGUGUCUCUGUUUCCCCUGUUUUCCAGCUUCCUCUUUCAUUUAUUUUAACUUUUUAACCGCCUCAUUUUUUUAUUUACUUUUUCACAUAUGUUACAGAAUAACUUAAUCUUUUGCUAUUUUAUUACGUUCAGUUUAUAUACAGCUGAUUCAUUGUAACAAAUGUUAUCAUAAAUAACCACUCGGGCAGUAGCCCGAGUGGCCAGGGCUGCUGCCCUCCAACAAGUUGGAGGGCAGCAGUUCGAACCCCCACAAAAAUAUUGUGGGGGUAUUUCUUUCCUCAAUUAAUUUGAGUGAAGGUAGUCUUCUCUCUUACCCAUGAGUGAGGAGUAGACAUCCCUCGAAUAUUUGUGAGGGUUAAAAUCUGGGCAGAGCUCCAUUAGCAUUGAUGUCAGUUGGUCCCAGUAAUAGUCUGAUUUGUAAAUAUCAGUAAUAGUCUCAUGUAUAUGAGUUGUAAUCUGAGCAAUAGUCUCAUGUAAUCAAAAAAAAAAAAUGUUAUCAUAAAUGAUUCUCGAGUAAUUUCAUUUAUUUACUUUUUCUUCUUUCACAGUUGGCCUGUACGGUAUCAUUUACUUUUAUCUUUUUUCAAAUUUCUUUUAAUCUAGAGAAUGUUUGUUUUAGUCCUGAUCUUGGGUUACUGAAAUGUUUCAUUCCCUUUUCCUAAGUAUUUUUGUUGCUUGUUUAGCGGGCAAUACUGCAACAGUGAUUUCAAUUCACAAAAUUCUGUAAAUACUUAUUAUUCUUAGUGUGGUUUUAAGGUAGAGUGAACUUAAUAUUAUCAUAAUGGCUUACAUCCCUCCACAUAUGAGGCAUACUACGGACCCCCAGAGGCCAUCUCCAGUUCCAGAGAUGAUUGUGCCUAAAUUCAACAGAAAAUUAAACUUGGGAUCAUCCAAGCAUAAUGCAGACAUGAGUGGAAAGAUCGUGUAUGCAGACCCUGCCAUACACAGGUUCUUCAUAUGUGGCUUGGAUAAUGAUAGCAGCACUCCUUCUGUCCGCUUUGUGGAGUUUUCAGACGACCCUGUUGAGCAUAAAAGAUCGACGACCAUUAAUCUGGCUCGAGGUUACUGAUCUGCAUUUGUAAUUUUAUCUUAAAUAUGUUCUACUUUCUUUCUUUAUUUAUAUCCGGUGCUAACUUUAGUUAUAAUGACAUUUGGAUUUUGGGUUGGUAGAUAACGAUAAAUUAUGUGGGAAUACGUCAAGAAGCCCGUGGGAAUCGAUGGCAGAAAAUGUAUGGCCAGAUGUAUUGAGUGCUUGUAACAUUGUCAAGAACGAAAUGGAGGAAAAGCCAACAAUGGUUGCUAGAUUUGGCCAUCAUCUUUUCCGUGAGUAUGUGAUCUGGUUCCAUUGCUGUAACAGCUUGAACUUUUUAUUAGGUCAUUCCUUUUCUUUGGACUUUGAAAUUAAAGCAGCAAAAAUGCAUGUUCAUACUAAAUUCUGACAGAAAUCUUAUGGUCAUAUAAGUGCUGGCAGCUAAAAUUAUGAGCUUUACCAUUAACCCUACCACCAGCUGUGGAUGACUGUAUAUCGGACCUCCAAGCCGGGGACAAAAGUUAAAAUUGCUUUUAAAAGCCAAAGAGGAAAAGAUUUGUAGAAAGAAGGAAAAAGAAAAUGGCAAUUUAUAGUGCAUGCACUUCUUUCAGACUUGUAUCUCAUAGAAGCUUUCAUGGCAUCUAGAAUUUGGCUUUGGCUUUGCGUAGGACAUUUCAAUUGUUGCUGGUGGAAACAAAUAUAUCCAUUGUCUUAGUAUUGCUUGAUUUCCGGUGCAAGAAACAAAUAAAUUUGUUGCCGUGGCCAAGUUUUGUUGUUUGAUAUUUCAUUGGGACAACAAAGUAUACCACUGCUUCGCCUAUUUCUUACAUCUUUGCAUCAUAUAUUUCCAUUCUUCUAUCACAUCUUUGAAGCUUCUACUAGUUCUCAUAUUAGAAGCGCCUCAAAGAAAUAAUUAUUAUAUUAUUCGUCUUAAUGAAGGAGUGACAUACUGAGCUUAGAAAAUGCAAAAGAAGGUCAGGUUGCUGAAUCUGCUUUGAGCCCACUGAGGAGAUGCUUUUACACUGGUGUCCCUCCUACAUACAUGGGAAAAAUUGUAAAUGAAGUUGUGCCAAAAAUUGGGGUUGGUUUUGUAGAGAACAAGGAUAUAUACCAUGUCAAGGUAGUUCUCCUGCAGUCCUGCUAAAUACUUUAGUAGUCAUCACCAAGUUUCUUUUAUCUCUCACUUAAUUAGCCAUUGAUUCCCCCCCUUCUUUUUCUUGUGUAGUUGUCUGAUGGCACACGACAAAUUACGUGCAAAUGUACUGUUAAAGAAGAUCAAAAGCUUCAUCUCUAUAAGGCAAGUCUUUUGCUACUGGCUGAGUAUUAUUUAUGGACAACGGGUCCAAGUUUAUAAGUUGCCUCUUGUGUUAAGGAGACUUUUGCUAGUGGAAACAUUGAAACAAGACUUAUGAUGUUUUGAAUUGAAUGAUAUAAUCUUUUCACUGUGAAUUAUGAAGGAGAUGUCGAAUAUAAGCGAUAGAUAUCAAGAAAGAGACGAAACCUUUGUGUCUCAAAAGAACCUUUUAGAAGUCUCUCCAGGAAUAAUCUCAGUUAAGAGGAAAAGAAUUAAAAUGAAAAGAAGGAAGAAAAUUCUCAAGAAGUAAGACUAAUUCUACAUCUAAUUGAGGAACAGGCUUGUUAAUUUAACAAGGAAAGCUCCAGUAGCUAUUUAUUAUAAACCAAUUAAAAAUUGAAUUAAAUUAAUAGUUAACUUGUAAUUGAAUGUCUAAUCCAACAAACUAUGCAUAAGAUUACAGAUGUAACUAUGUAAUACAAAAAACCUCUGCUUAUCGUAGACCAAAGUGAAUAUGCCAAUAUUUAGGAAUUUCUUUCAGCAUCAUGGGAUUUAGAUCCCUAUAAUUUUUUUUAUUUUAGUGUAGUGACAUCCGGAAGACCAGAAUUAUCACGUACCUCGUAGUAGUCAUUUUAUGUCUUUUAAAGCGCCACAUUAUUUCCCAUACAGUCAUAAUAUAUCUAUUUGUUGUUUAUUUAUUGUUGUCGUGUGUGGAGUCUCAUCUUGAAUAUGAACAUUUUUCCGGAAGGUCGAGCUGAACUCUGUUCGUCACAUGGUAGCAGACAUGUUAUGCGUUCAUAAAAAUCUAGACCUGAGGUUGGCACUAUGUUCAAAGAGUACCUUAUCUGCUCUCUCGGUAAGUCAAUCUGCUACUCUGUGCAUGUUUAGCUGGACUUUUAAGUUACGCCUUCUUUUUUCCCCUUUUUAUUUUUUUUUGGUCAUUUGCUUGUUGGAAUCAUCAUCAUUACAGAAUGAGGAAGAAAAAUUCAAGACCAGGGGAAAUAAGGAAAUAUUAAACUUAUAGCUUUUGUUUUAUCAUAGAAAGUUUACUUUCAAGGGGUUGAGAAAAAAAAAAAAUUAUAUAUAUAUAUAUAUAUAUAUAUAUAUAUACACAUACAUAUAUAUAUAUAGGGAUGGCAAAAUCCGGGUCUGGGUCCGGGUUUAGCCUUCCCGGUUCCGGACCCGGACGCCAUUUUCUUUCUCUCGGUCCCGGAUUAAAACCCGGUUUUUUCACUUCGGGUCCGGUACGGGUUCAACCCGAAAAAAUCCGGGUUUUGAACCCGGAUCAAUGAAUUAAUUUCUAUAAUUCCAAAAAUAAAAUCUUCAUAUGAAGAUGGCGAUUUUUCACUGGAACCAGAGAAAAUAUUUAUGGCACCUGGAGGGAGUUCCCUCUGUUUUGCAGAUCAUUUAUACAGAACAAAAUGAUUAAAUACCCAAAAAGGAGGAUCACAUGUCUGCAGAUUUGGCCCGCGGAAAAGAUUCAACACAAUCUCCAAAACCAUUUUAGAAUCCGCGAUGGUGAAGAUGCGUUGUCACAACUCAAACAACGACAGCCGAUGAUGAUGAAUACAGGAGCUACAAGGUUGCGACGGUGGUGAACCCAAGAGAACGAGUUGCGACGGUGGCGAACCAAGCUUGCGACGGUGGUGAACCCAAGAGAACGAGUUGCGACAGUGGCGAACCAAGCUUGCGACGGUGGUGAACCCAAGAGAACGAGUGGCGACGGCGGCAAACCAAGCUUGCGACGGUAGCAGCUUGGAUCGUAUGGUUGUUUGGUUGCAGCAAGCGGCAGCUUCAAUGUGUGAAUGUGAGUAUGUAAAUUAGGGUUUUUGUUAUGUUUGUAUUUAUAUUAAAUAAUAAAUAUAAUUAAAAAAUAAUAUUAAAAUAAGAUAUCCGGGUCCGGGUUCCGGAUAUACGGGUUACUCUAAACUCGGAAUCGGACCCGGAUCUAUCCGGGUCGUUAAAAUUCAUUCCGGAUCCGGAUUUUUUUACACUCCGGUACGGGUUCAACCCGGUCCGGAUUAUCCGGAUUCGUCCGGGUCCGAUCCGGGUCCGGGUUAUUCUGCCAUCCCUAUAUAUAUACAUACACACACGACAACAAUACAUAUAUAUACAAAAUUGUGAUAUCGUGCCACAGUUGCACUCAACCGUUGGAUUUCUAUGGACCCCACCUAUCUAAAUGGAUCCAACGGCUGGAUGCAACUGUGGCACGGUACCAUAGUUGCACCGUAGCCAGACCCUGCAAAAGUAUAUUGAAGUUUUUUUCUGGCCUUUUAUGUAAUCACACCCGCCAGUAAUGAGAUAAUUUACAAAAAGGUCCUUGAUGUUUUGGUUAAAUUUAAUUAAAUUAGUAAAUUCAUCCAAAACGGCAUCGUUUUGAAUGUGUUUUUAUUAAGAUUUAUCCAGCAUUUCGUACAUAUAUCAGUGCUUUUUUUUUUUUGUUUAAUUUUUAUAAAGUGUUGGUUAGAAGGCAAACAUCUUACAUUAAAAUGGAGUCUUCUUGCGGCGGCCAAAGGAGAUAUAUAUAUAUAUAUAGGCACACACACAUACACUAGAGUUUUGUUUAAGUUAUAUUUCACAUGGAUUAAGUUGUAGAUGACAGAUCUCUAAAAGCAUCUUGUAAAAUUGUACAUUAAAAAAUAAUAGUUCUAGUAGUGUUAAAGGCAGCUGCUGAAAACAGUUUCUACUUAUGCUGCGUUUACUAAACUGGAAUCGGAAUGAGUUGGAAUCAGAAUGGACGGGAAUCGAAAUGAGCUGGAAUGAGAAUCAAAAUAAGUUGUUUACUUGAACUGUAGGAAUCGAAAUCGGAAUGAGCUGGGUUGCCAUUAAUGUGUUUACUUUGUCUUGAAUCGGAAUCAGAAUGAGUUAGAUUGUAACAAAUUACUAAAAAAUACUUAAUGAAUUAUUGUCAUAAUUAUUAUUAUUAACUAAUUUUAAAUUUUUUAUCAAAUUAUUAUAAUUAUAUUAACAAUUAUUAUAAAAAUAUAUUAACAAAUAAUAUUAAUAUUCAAAAAUUAUAAUUAUUAAUAAUUAUUGUUAAAAAUAUAUUAAUAUAUUAAUUAGUACUAAUAAUUAUAUUAUUUAAUUAAUUAUAAUAACUAUAUUAAUAAUUAUUAUAAUAACAUGUUAAUUAAUUAUUUACAAUAAUAAUAUAUUAAUUAUUGUGAUUAUUUACUCAAGAACAAUAAUUAUUAAUAUAUUAUUGUUAAUAAUAUAUUAUUAUAUUAUUUAAUAGUGAUAAUUAUAUUAAUUAAUAAUAAUAUAUGAAUUAAUUCUAAUAAUUAUAAUAGUAAUUAUUAUAAUAAUAUAUUAAUUAAUUACAAUAAUAAUAUAUUAACUAUUGUGAUUAUUUAUUCAGAAAUUAUAAUUAUUAAUAAUUAUUGUUAAUAAUAUAUUAAUAUAUUAAUUAGUAGUAAUAAAUAUAUAAUUUAAUUAAUAAUAAUAUAUGAAUUAAUUAUAUUAAUAAUUAUUAUAACAGUAUAUUAAUUAAUUAUAAUAAAAAUAACAAUAAAUUAAUUAUUGUGAUUAUUUAUUCAAAAAUUAUAAUUAUUAAUAAUUAUUGUUAAUACUAUGUUAAUAUAUUAAUUAACAGUAAUAAUUAUAUUAAUUAAUAAUAAUAAUAUAUGAAUUAAUUAUAGUAAUAAUAUUGAUAAUUACUAUAAUAGCAUAUUAAUUAAUCAACUAAAAUAAUAAUAUAUUAAUUAUUGUGAUUAUUUAUUCAAGAACUAUAAUUAUAGUUAAUAAUAUAUUAAUUAAUCAUAAUAUUUAUUUAAUUAAUUAUAAUAAUAUAUUAAUUAAUUAUAACUGAGGACAAAGUGGGUAUUUUUAGUUUUGGGGGAUGGCAAAAUGGGAAUUCUUGGGAUGGGAGAUUGAUUCCCACCUCCCCCAUGGGAAUCAAUCUCCCAUUCCCCAUUCCCAAAUAGUUGUGGGCCCCACCAUUUUGAUUUCCAUUCCUGCUUCAUUUUUGCGAAGUAAACGCGUCAAUCAUUCCGAUUCCAGAUUUCGAUUCCCCAAUUCGGGAAGUAAACGCACCAUUAGUUUCUAGUAUAUCCAUAUAUAUUUACCUAAAAAAGAAGGAGGUAAACGUCUUUUGUUUUUUUUUUUUUUUUAAAAGAGAGAGAGCGAGAGAGAGAACAUUUUCUACUGUGUUCACUGACACACCCCGCCCCGACUUAUAUGUUGGAUCCGAGGCGAAUCAUGCGGUCUAGUAACUAAAACUCGUGGCACUAACUUAAUUCAUGUAUAUAUAUUAAUAGUUUUCUGGUUAGGGAAUUGUAAGCUUUUAAAGCCGUGCAGUUUUAAAGUUUUCCCAGACUUUCCCGCACUUUAAAAUUCCAGACUGGAACAUUUAUAUAUAUAUAUAUAUGACCUUUACUAUAAACACAUAACAACCUUUGUGUCUCCUCCGAAAAUAUAUAUGUAUUCAAAACUUGCACAGUUCAUGUCUCAUUAUACAUACUUACAUUACAAGUAUAUAUACAAAAAAAACAUAAACAACAUAAAUGUGCUCAAAAUGCAAGACAUGCAACAAUGCGUCUCGUGGGCCCACCCCAAUUGACUGGAACUGAUCUGCACGAAAUCCUGCGGAAUCCUGGGAAAAAAAAUAGAUAAAUAAGAAAAUAAUGAGCUUGCGGCUCAGUGAGUGGAUAUAAUUUAUAUAUAGAAAAAUAUAGUAGCGUACUAGGAUAUAUACAUAAUUAUGUGACAUAAUUCCGCACUGAAUGUAAUGCAUCAACAAACAUGAAAAUCAUACACACAUGACAAAAUUGUACCAAAUAGUACCCAGGGGAAAUAACUCUCAAUACUUGCUGGGAUCAUCGUCGCACGAGAAGAGCGGGAAAACUCUCAAUACCCAGCGGAAUUUAACUAAAUCGCACGAGUAGAGUAGCCUAACUCUCAAUAUGCAUGCGUAGAGCCUAUGGAGAAGGGUACAUAUAUGGUGACUGACAAUCACAUCUCAUGACUCAAUCAAACAUAUAAUAUGCAAAUAUAUAAUCAUGAUAUUAAAUCAUAUUAUCAAAUAUAAAUGCUUCACGAAAUUCAUAUUAGUAAUAAUAGUAUCCACUCACAAAUCAUGUUUCACUUCGGGGUGUUUGUUGGGGCUCCUAUGGGUUCUUGAAUUCUUGAGUUCCUCCUAAAAUAUAAGAUUAAAAAAUUAACUAUUAAAACUGAUAUAAAAAUUGAUACGUAUCACAAAAACUGUAAUAUAACUGUUCAAACUUCAUAUAUCUAUUACCCAUUAAUUCAUUGGAUAUUAAUGUAAGUGUUUAAUUUCAUUUCCUAUAACAUUCCCUCUCAAUUUAUCUUUUAAAUUUCUUUUCCCACUCUUGGCUUCUUCCUUUCUUUUAUUUUUUUUCUUUCCUCUUCUCUUUUGCUCUCAGUUUUUCUUCUUUUUCUUCUCUGUCUCACUUCAAAAAAUGAUGCAAAAUGAGAGCUGGUUUCAAUUCCUUCAAAUUCAUAUAUGUCCACCGACUCAAGCACACAAGUAGAGCAUACGGGUGAAGCAUGCACGUGCCUUGCAUGAAGCUGGUAGCUUGCUGCUGCUUUGAUAAUUAGCCACGUUUGGCUUAUAAAGAAGCGGUGAAGCAUGCACGGUGCAUUACAUUCAUGCUAUCUACGGAAUGAUAAAAACUAAACUUCAAGUACAGCGGAGUAAAACCUGUGCACACAGCUUAACAUUUUAUGUGGCAACUCUGGAAGAAAUCUCACAAUGAAAAUAAAAAUUACAGGCGAAUGUUGCAAGUAUAUUUCAUUCAUAUGUCAAUUUUUGAAAACCUUGCUCUGUAAGUAAACCAACCAAUCUAUUUGUGACAAAUGGGAACAAGACAGUAACCUCCUUAUUUGAUGAUAUGCAGCAUUUGCAGAAGCUGAAACAGUAAACAUGGGAAUGAAAGGAUUAGAAUCAUUUGAUAUAUUUUUUUUUAACUAGAAUUACUUCCACCGUAACUGAUAUAAUUAAAUAAGAGAGAAUUUACAAACUAAUUUUUUAAAUUCUCUCAAAUAAGUAAGCAUAUUAAUUAAAAAAAUUAAAUUAAAAGUAUUUCAUUUAAUUAUUUUUUUAUUGAAAACUAAUAAUUAAUACAUAUGCAUUCUCUACAGGUUUAAUCAGGUUUUGUUGUUGUACACAUUAGUAUAAUAAGUUUAAAUGAAGUUUAAACUUUGAUAAUUUAAAUUAAAAUUCUCACAAUUAUUUGAAGAUUGUGGUUCGGUGAAAUGAAGUUUAUCCAGUAUAACAUACCAAAAAGGGGGCGGCUAAGGAGGCAGCCAGGAGGCAACCGAGAGUUAGCAAAAGAGGCAAGAAAAAGGCAACAAGCCAACAAUGAAGUCAAAAGCUCAAGAAGGGAAGCGGUGAAGCAAAUCCGACAAACGCAAGCAAGAGUUAAGCUGGCUGUUUCGCAUGACACAUGUGAAGCUUCAUCACAAGCUGGCUGUUUCGCAUGACACAUGUGAAGCUUCAUCACAAGCUGGCUGUUUCGCAUGACACGUCUAUGCUAUUUUUCUUCUGGAUUUAAUCUAUCAUUGUCGACGACGACGAUUUGCUAACCUCACAAGUGAUAAGGACUCUACAAGAGUACAAAACAGAGACUCGUAAUAUUACUGAAUAUAGCAUUUCUGUUUCCUUAUUAAUGGAGAAAGGCAGUUAUGUUUUUGCAGCGGUCAAGGGCAUUGAAGAUAUUAUGGCUUUACUUAUCAUCGUUAGCUUCCUUCUGUGUCUCCCAUUCUUCCUCUUCUUCUUUGUUUUGCAAAGGCACAAAACCUCGAAAAAUAAUACUAAAUUACCACCAGGCCCCCGGGGCCUUCCCUUCAUCGGUAACUUACAUCAGUUUGAUGUCUCAAAGCCUCAUGUGUCAUUUUGGGAACUAUCGAAAAAAUAUGGCCCCCUCAUGUCCUUGCGUCUUGGUUUUGUGCCGUCCUUAGUAGUUUCCUCAGCAAAAAUGGCUAAAGAGAUAUUGAAAACCCAUGACCUUCAAUUUUGUAGCAGGCCAGCCUUGGUAGGGCAACAAAAGUUAUCUUACAAUGGUCUUGAUUUGGCUUUUUCACCCUAUGAUGAAUAUUGGAGAGAGAUUAGAAAAAUUUGUGUCAUUCAUCUCUUAAACUCUAAUAAGGUACAAAAUUUUCGACCCAUUAGAGAAGAUGAAGUUUCAAGAAUGAUUGAAAAGAUUUCAAAAUCAGUUGCUGCUUCUAAGCUCGUAAACUUAAGUGAGGUAAUGAUGUCUCUUACUAGCACUAUUAUUUGUAGAAUUGGUUUUGGCAAGAGGUACGAUGAAGAUGAAGCAACAAGUGCAAGAAGUAGAUUCCAAGCCUUGCUUAAUGAAACUCAAGCCUUGUUUGUAAGCUUUUUUGUUACAGAUUAUUUUCCUUUCAUGGGCUGGAUUGAUAAGUUCACAGGAAAGAUGCAACGUCUGCAAAAUAACUUCCAAGAACUUGAUAGAUUCUACCAGGAACUCAUCGACGAGCAUUUGGAUCCAAACAGAACAAAAUCAAAAUUGCCGCAACAGGAGGAUAUAAUUGAUGUUUUACUUCAAAUAAGAAAAGAUCGUGGAUUUAAAGUUGACCUGACUUUGGAUAACAUCAAAGCAGUGCUCAUGGUGGAUAAUUUUAUAAAUAGUUAUAUGUAGACUCGUGCUUAGGCGCAGACUCAAAAUUUUGUGCAGAUGCCCAAUUUUACAGUGUUGUAAAACGUUUUAUAAUGCUGUAAAGUGCUCUUUGACGUCUCCGCCUGAGCAUGAUUAAUUUAAUAUAAUUUUAUUCGCUUUAACUAAUUUAAUAUGUAUAUUGUUUGCUUUGCAGAACGUAUUCGUUGCUGGAACAGACACAAGUGCAGCAACUGUGGUUUGGGCCAUGACCUAUCUAACGAAGAAUCCUAGAGCAAUGAAAAAAGUUCAACUGGAAAUUAGAUCGUUGAUUGGGGGCAACAAAGGCUUUGUAAAUGAAGAUGAUGUUCAAGAACUACAUUAUCUUAAAGCCGUAGUGAAGGAGACAAUGAGAUUGCAACCUACAGUGCCGUUACUACUUCCAAGAGAAGCAAUUCAAAAGUGCAUAGUAGAAGGGUAUGAAAUACCAGCUAAAACACGUGUUUUUGUAAAUGCAUGGGCGAUAGGGAGAGAUCCUGAAGCUUGGCAGAAUCCUGAGGAAUUUUAUCCGGAGAGAUUUGUUGAUAGUUGUAUUGACUUUAAAGGGCAAAACUUUGAGUUAAUACCGUUUGGUGCUGGCAGAAGAAUUUGUCCUGGGUUGAAUAUGGGAAUUGUAACUGUGGAGCUUGCACUUGCUAAUCUUCUUUACAAAUUUGAUUGGGAAAUGCCGCCUGGAUUGAAGAGCCAUGACUUUGAUGUUCUGCCCGGACUUGCCAUGCAUAAGAAGAACGUUCUUUCUCUUCGGGCUAAGUAUCAUGUUGAGUAGGUAAAUUAAGGCACCUCCAUCAAUAAGAAGGUAAAUUAAGGCACCUCCAUUAAUAAGGGUUUGAUCUAGCUAAAGGAAAUAUAUGUUAUGCGUCCUCAAUUGUGCUUCUCAAUGUUUUCUUUCUUUCUUCUUAUGUAUAAUGGAUGUUUACGCGAAUGGUUUUUAGUAAGUAAUUUUCUUUUAGUUCAAAAUUUUGGGAGGUAAGGGCUAGAAGAUAAUAGGGACUCUGCCCACUCUCUUAUACCUUUAAAAAAAUGAUAUGAAUGUGAGUAUCAAUUUAUCACAUUUAUUUUGUCUUACAUUUUUCUCUCUCCAAUUUCAAAUUAUAAAUGUAUAUAUAAAUACACGAAACGACCAAUCAAUAUUAUUUACUUGAUAUAACUAAUAAGUAAAUUCAUGGCUUUUUCUAUCACCCCUUUUUUUGUUAGGAGUAUCAGUAAAAUCAGCUCUGUAAUGCUCUACAUCUUUACCGUGAAAGCUGCAUUUUUAUGGAAUCAGCUUACAGUUAUGUACUAACCAAAAAAAAAGAAAAAGAAUAUUACAUCAAUUCUUCAUUGAGAUUUGAGACAUUUUCUUCCUCCAGAAAGUAUACAAGUUAAAAAAACUACACAUCAUUGUGAUUUCAUAACAGCAUCAUCCAUCACUUUCCUAUGAGCUUUUUAUGAGGCCGGAGGCUAAAGCACAAUCAGUUGAGCUGUUAUUGCAUUUCCCACAGCAAGACUGUGGCAAAUCAGUUGACUUUUGACGUUAAAUGGUGGUUUCGGCUUGCAGUCACUUGUGUUUGUUCAAUUUCAAUAAAGGAAAUUUCAUUUUUGUUAAAAUCCAUGAAUAUUAAUUACUACCUUGUUCGCUGUUCAGUAAAACUAAAACAACACCAAAACUUAAAUAUUUUCGCUAUAUCACAAACUUAAAUAUUUUUUUUUUCCCCCUAUACAUCCCUAGUAAGGUUGACAGAAAAAAACCAAAUUUCAAUCGGUAUUGGGAUCCCCUCCCGAAUGAUAGGGGAUUUGGCACUAAUUUUUAAAAUCGAUUCGAUACUAAUUUUAACAAACACUUGCUUUAAACCAACUUAUUCUUCUACCACAUAAUUUACUUAACUUUCAUUACAUGAAAAAUAGUCAUUUUUUUUACCUAACUUGUUCGACAAUAGUUAAAUAUGUUGGUGAGAGGGCAGUUUUCAAUUGUAAAAAUCAAGACAUCGAGAAAAACUAAAAUGGCUAUUUGGUUUUUCUAAUGAAAAACUAAAACAACUAUAUGGUUUAGCGUGAAAUUUUAGCUUCAUUGGUAUUUAUGACGAUUGUAACUAACCAUUAAAAAUGCAUAAUUAUUUUCUACCUGUAGUGAUUUAGGUGCUGUAGAAUUCGAUUAGCAACCUAAGCACUGCCCAAGAUCACAAACCAGAUCCACUAGAUGCUAAGAACCCAAACAAUCAAGCUUUAAGUUUCAACAAAACCUUUAACGAAAAUGGCUUAAUCAGAACACACUCAGAACAAGAAUUAGAAACCAAUCACACCCAAAAGAAAGAGAAAUAUUUACGUGGUUCGAUUGUGCAAAGAAGCACAAUCUACAUCCACGGGAGAAGCCCACAGAGCAAGCUUUAUUGAUGAUUCAAGUAAUCUUUACAGAGCAAUACAAGAGCUAACUACUAGGAUCAAGACGAAGCUUUCUCUCUAUCUUAACUCUCUCUAUCACGCUCUCAGAUCAUCCAUGAAACUGCUUCUUUAACCAGCUUAUAUAGCAGCUGAUAAAGAACCCAGAAGUUGCAGAUUUCCGCCACCUGGACUAACAGCUUCUAACUGAUUUGAUUCUCCACCCCCCGUGCACUUCACAUGUUUCACUUAAGCCUUUUGCCGAAACGUCUCCAGCUCCUGCCGUUUUGAACUUAAGUGAAUCACAUGCCAUGCUCGUGACUCCUGAGUAUAUUAAACAUAUUCCAAACGUUGUCGUUUAACAUGCUCAAGUUUUGGAUUCAACAUUUUAGUCCACACUACCGUUUCAAAAACAUAGUCGAAAAUAAAAUAAUAUUUUCAAUUAUUGUAAUUUUUAAUCAAAAAUAGGAAAAUAUUUUUAAACGUAACUAGGAGUUGGUUGAAAAAACCAUUAAAAAGAUAUAAAAUUUUAACAGACAACAUGGGCACCAAUAAUGUUUUUCACUACUAUAACUUGCAAGGUUGGUCAAAGCAAAAGCUGUAAGGGUAAGUAAAUAUAAUAUAAAAUUAUAUAUCAUCUAAAAGAAAAGUAAUUGUACGUUUUUUUUUCUUAGUUUACUAUUUUUUUUAUCAAACAUGAACUAGAUAAUUAAAUAAUUAAUUAAUUAAUGUAUUUUUUUUAUAGAAUUAAUUAAUGUACUUAAUUGAAAAUAAAAUUAACUUCUACGAUGCAAACAGAAUUUGAGCCCUCAACUGAAAAGAUAAAAUAUGAAAGUGCCUACCACUGGAGCAAGAAAUAAUUUUCAGUAAAUUAUAAAUUAAAUAAUUAUGAAAGGAUUGAUUUUUUCUAAAGGUUUUACUAGGUGCAACAAUGGAAUUGAAUUACCUUAUUUAACUUAGAAGAUAUUGAUUGAUUACAGCAUAGAUAUAAUGUAUGAUAUCUUAAAUUAAACAUCAAUUAACUUCGAAAUUAUAUUGUAGUUCAAAUAAACUCGAUAAUAUUUAUGAUCACAUUCUAUCUUAUACACAAACUUGAAACUUAUGUUAUUGAUUAAGUCUCAACUAUUUUAAUCAUUAUCAUUGAAUCAAUUUAGAAAUUGAUUAUCGAACUAGCUGGUAUUUUAUAGUUAAGUAUUUAAAGAAAUAAUGUCUAUGAUUGAUCAUAAUUAUUGUUGAAUCAAUUUGGAGACUAGCUAAUUUUCAAAUUAAUGUAAUUAUCUAGUGGUCAAUUUCAAUAAAUAGAGUCUAAUAGUUUUCAUAGUUGUAUUAUACUCAUAAUUGUGGAACAUGGAACGUAUACUUCAUACUUAAAACUUAUUGCAUAUAUUAAAAAAAAUAGAUGAUUAGUAAUUAACAUUUAAUUAUAGUUGAAAUAUUAAUUAUUAAAUUAGUCUAAUUGUCUAAGAACAGUCAUACAAUUAAUUUCAAUAGAUAACAAGAACUAUUGCAAUAAUUUUUUUAUAUUUUAAAACAUAUCUCAACUAUGAAUUAUUAAAACUAAUAUAGCUUCAUAGUUUUUAGGCCAAUAUCUAUUUUCAUCUUUUGUUUAUCUUAUUAAUUUAAAUUUAAAAUCUAUGUUAAAUAAUAAAGAUGUUCUAUCAAUCAAUUUAGGCUAUAGAUUAAUUAAACAAUCUAGUAAUCACAUAAUAGGUAUUACAUAUAAUUGUUCAAUUAUAAUAAACUUUAAAUUUGCAUUAAUGAGAUAAGAAGUUUUGUUUUGCAAUUAAUCGAAUCGUAUGCUAAUAAUUUUCAAUAUUUAUUAUUAUUUCAAUAUUUAUUAGUAUGAAAUAACUAACUUAGGAUAAAUAAAUUGAUUGAUUGAUUUUUUCUUAAAUUUUAAUAUCUUGUAUUAUCUCUAUUAACUAUUUGGUCCACUGCCACCUAACUAAAGUUUUUAGUGCAAGUGUAUGUGUACCUAUUCUCCACUCUCUCUAACAAAUAUCUCAAUUAGCCACCGAAUCAAAUCUAAUAAUAGAAUAAAUAAAUAAAAGCCACCGAUAUUAAGCGCAACGGAUGAAUUCAUCUCCUCUUCUUUUGUAUAUUCUCUCCAAAGCUUUCAACUCUAUUUUGGGGUCAUUUUCUUAAUUUUUUUUAAUUAAACUAUAUAGAAACUGGGGAGAUGUUUUCAGAUAUUUAUUAAUUUUUAUCCUUCACCUUUAAUUUCUUAAGUUUGACAUCAGUUAUUGUUGGCCUCACUCUCACAUGGUUGGUUUGAAGCUUUUCUAUCAUGUAGUUCGGUGAAAAUUAUUUGAUUAAUCGUGACUUGCAGGUAAGAAUUAUAUUAUUAUUUUGUGUUAUGUUUUUAAUUUAUUAGAUUUUAAUUCACAAUUUAUUUGAUAACAAGUGAAAGAGAUGUUAAUUAGGAUAGAUUCAUUUUCUUGUUUAGUAUAUAGGAUUUUCUACUUUAAUUUAAUUGUAUCUUAAUAUUUUUUUUAUUGUUAUCAAGGGAAUUAAGAGCCUAGGAAGAAAAAAUUAUGAUAUUCAACUUUCAUAAGGAUUCAGUUGCUCAAUCCACAUUGAUUCUAUCUUUUAUCAACAGCAAAAUAUCAUUGCAAGAGUGCCAUGUAGCCUUUGGUGUAUUUUAUUUUAUUUAAAUAUUUGUCAUGGAUUCAAUGAUUAAUACGUAUUUAUUUUAUCUUUUAGUAGCAUUAAGUUAUUGUAAUAGCAUCAUGUAGCUUUAAGUCAUUGUAAUGGUGUCUUGUAGCACUUGUACUUUGUUUGAGUUGCACAUGUAUUUGUUGAAAUUAUUUAUAAAAGGAUAUUUGUCGAUUGAUUCAUUGAUUUUUUUCUCCUGAGGCAAUUAAUAAAACCAUUUUCAGCCAUAUAUAUUUGUCUACUAAUUCAUCAUUUUUUUUCCUAGAGGCGAUUAAUAAAAUGAUUAUUUUAACGAUGAAGUAGAAUCAAAUGAAUUUCAAUAAUCAUCUUCUUGGAAAUACUAAGAUUCAAUUAGAACUAAUAUUUAUUCGACUAUAAUUUAUUUUUUCCAACUGUUUUUACCCCUAAAAAAUAGUGUAUUUUUAAUGGUAAUUAGUUAGUUGAAAUUGAUAUUGCAAAUACAACUGCUAUCGAAAAUACUCUUUUUUACUACUUAAGGUGGUCAUAAAUAUCAGUCAUUAGUCACAUGUCCAUAUUAAUUUUCAAUCUAUAUUUAUGUAUUUAUGAUUGUCAAUUUCGCACCAAAUAAGCAUAUUUACGGCGGCCAAUCGGUAAAAGUGUGUUUCUAACCUGGGUAUUAGCGAUUACCAGCGACUGAUUAAGGCCAUUGGAAAAACAUAUUUUCAACAGUAUAGCACUUGUUUCAACUGCAUUCAGCAGUUAUAAAAAGUUAUUUUUCUUGUAGUAUAUUUAUACCGCACAUUUUGACUACCACUAAUUUAAGUUGCCUGAUGAACAUAUUUACCACACAUAAAAACUAAAAUAUCUGAGAUAUUUCUUUAGAUAUUUCUAUAGAUAUUUUAACAUUUUAGAUUACAAUAUUUUUCAACACUUGAUUUAAUCACCAAUCGUUGACUAUGAUGACGACAAAAAAUCUAUUUCAUUGUGCUAACCUCACAAGUGAAAAGGACUCCACAAGAGUACAAAACAGAGCCUUGAUCUAAUAAUAUUACCGAAUAUAGCAUUUUGUUUCCUUAUAAAUGGAGAGAGGUUCUGUCUUUGCACUGCAUAACAGAUAUUAAUGGCUUUACUUAUCGUCAUCAACUUCCUUAUGUGUCUCUCAAUCUUCGUCAUCUUCUUUGUUUUGACAUCAAUUUUGUUGGCCUCACCCUUGGCUGAAAGCUUUUUCUGUCAUGUAGAACGGUGAAAAUUAUUUGAUUAAUUGUGGCUCGUAGGUAAGAAUAAUUAUUGUUUUUUGUGUUCAUGUUUUUAAUUUAUUGGAUUUUAAUUCACAAUUUAUUUUAUAACAACUGAAAGAGAUUUUAUUUAGGAUAGAUUCAUUUUCUUGUUUAGUAUAUAGGAAUUUCUACUUUAAUUUAAUUGUAUCGUAAUUUUUUUUUUAUAUAUAUUGUUAUGCGGUGAAUCAAGAGACCUAGGAAGAAAAAAUUAUGGUAUUCAACUUUCAUAAGGAUUCAAUUGCUCAGUCCAUAUUAAUUCUAUCUUUUAUCAACACCAAAAUAUCAUUGCAAGAGUGCCGUGUAGCUUUUGGUGUAUUAUUUUUUAUUUAAGUAUUUGUCAAAGAUUCAAUGACUAAUACAUAUUUAUUUUAUCUUUUAGCAAUAUUAAGUCAUUGUAGUAGUAUUGUGCAAUAGGGAUGACAAAACCCCGGGCCGGGUCCGGGUAUUGCAAUGACCGGACCCUACCCGGAUGCAACCGGUCCGGGUCCAGGUCUGGGCCGGGUUUUAAUCCGAGUACCCGAAUUUUAUAUUUUUUAAUAUUAUAUGUGUAUAUAUUUUUUAUUUUUUGGUAAUUUUAUAAGUUUUAAAUUUAUUUCAAUAAAAUUUGACAUGAAAAUAUAAACUUUAAGUGUUUAAAACUUUAUAUAUGUAUAAUAAAUUAGUCAAAUAAAUAUAAAUAUUUAAAAUAAUAUAUAUUUUAUAAUAUUUUUGUAAUAAAAUCCGGGUUCUGGGUUUAUCAAGUGAUGUCCAAGACCGACCCGGCUUCAUACCCGGCCCAUAACGCCCGGGUACGGUUCGGGUCCAGACCGGGCGGGUAUUUUUGCCACCUCUAUCUUACAUCUUUAAGUCAUUGUAGUAGUGUGGUGUAGGAUUUGUAUUUUGUUUAAGUUGCACAUGUAUUUGUUGAAAUUAUUUAUAAAAGAAUAUUAUUCCACUAAUCCAUUGAUUUUUCUUUUUUCUAUGGGGCAAUUAAUAAAAUCAAUUUGGGCCAUAUAUUUGUCAAUUAAUUCAUUGAUCAUUUUCCUAGGGGUCCAGCUACCUUGCGUCAUGGGUUUGGUACCGCAGUUGUUUGUCUCUUAGCGAAUGACCCUUUAGAUUGUACUGAAUGCAUUCUGCACUAUGGUCCAAUAAUUCUCUUUCAAAUACACUUAGGUCCCCAAAUCAAUAGCUCAAUUCUUCACAUUCAAUUUAAAGCUUUUUUUAACUUCAUUAUCAUUUAUUUAUCAAACAUCACAUACCUGAUGCAGAUCCACCAGGUGUUGAGUUUCUACCAGCAUUCACUCUUGAGCUUGAUGUUGUUUCCAAGUUCUUGCAACGCUUCUGCUUGGCACAGAGAAGUAAAUUUUGUAAGUAAGUACACUCAAUCAAAUACUUCAUACUUAACAUUGAUUGCAUAUAUUAAAAAAAAUGUUAGAUGAUUAGUAAUUAACAUUUAAUUAUAGUUGAAAUAUUGUUUAUUAAAUUAGUCUAAUUGUCUAAGAACGGUCAUACAAUUAAUUUCAACAUAUAAAAAAACUAUUGCAAUAAUUUAUUUAUAUUUUGAAACAUAGCUCAACUAUGAAUUAUUAAAACUAAUAUAGCUUCACAGUUUUUGCAUCAAUAUCUCUUUUCAUCUUUCGCUUAUCUUAUCAAUUUAAAUUUAAAAUCUAUGUUAAAGAUGUUCUGUCAAUCAAUUUAGGCUAGAGAUUAAUUAAACAAUCUAGUAAGCACAUAAUAGGUAUUAUUAUUAAUUGUUCAAUUAUAAUAAACUUUCAAAUUGCAUUAAUGUGAUAAGAAGUUAUAUUUUGCAAUUAAUCGAAUCAUAUGCUAAUAAUUUGCAAUAUUUAUCAGUAUGAAAUAACUAACUUAGAAUAAAUUAAUUAAUUGAUUGAUUUUUUCUUAAAUUUGAAUAUCUUGUAUUAUCUCUAGUAACUGUUUGGUCCACUUAAUUACUAAAAUCCCACCUAACUAAAGUUUUUUGUGCAAAUGUAUAUUUACCGUAACCCACGUUCUCCAUGCUCUCUAACAAAUCUCUCAAUUAGCCACCGAAUCAUAUCCAUUAAUAGAAUAAAAAUAAAAGCCACCGAUAUUAAGCACAAUGGAUGAAUUCAUCUCUACUUCUUUUGUAUAUUCUCUCUAAAGCUUCAAACUCUAUUUUAGGGUUAUUUUCUUAAUUCUUUUGAAUCAAGCUAUAUAGAAUCUGGGGAGAUGUUUUCAAAUAUUUAUUGAAACGACCCGCCCCGAAUCAACCCAGACGAGUUUAUCUAGUCUCAUCAAAACGGACUUGAUAAUAAUUUUAUUCGUAAAGAUUCUGCCGAAAAUUCGGCAGAGUCUCCUUUAUAUAUAUAACACUCCCAAUCUACAAAUAUGAAUAUAACACUCUCAAUACAAGUCAAUAUACAACAAACUCUAGUGCUCAACAUCCUCAACCAAAAUGCUGAGUUUUAUAUCUCCAGAGUCUCAAAAGAUAAUAUUAUAACUAAUAUUAAUAUCUCAAUUUAUUCUUAAUCCCAAAAAGAAUAAUAUAACAAAAGUAUACAAUCCCAAAAGAACAAGAUGACCAAGAUAUCCUAACAAAAACAUUUAUAUCUUCUAACACCAUCACGUGACCAAGACUCAAAAUAUAUUUACAGUCGCUGGGUCGGUCUGGUGUACCUGCAACCUCCUGGUGAGGGGGGAAAAAUAUAAUAAAAACGGGAUGAGUCUAAAACUCAGUGAGAUCAGUGAGUGGAUAGUAGUUUUGAAAAUUAAUUCUUACUUUAAAAGAAAUAAUCAUAUCAUUUCCAAACAUGAUUGCACUAAACCAUAAGCGAGAAACCAGAAAUAAAUAAUUAAACAUUUAAAUCAGAUUACUAACCAUGGAAAUCAUAUCACAAUAUCAUAUAGAAUUCACAAAUCUGAAAAUCAUCACCAAACAAGUACCCAGGGAAAUAAUCUCGUCAUAUCCGGACCUCAACGGACGAGCAAUGACGUACUAUCUGGGUAACGUCACGCCCCGGAGCUACACGGAUAGACAGGGAAAUACCAUCUCAUAUCUCAUCAUAUCCGUGCAUGCAUAAUCUAGUCCCCAAAUGACAAAAACACCCAAGCACAUGGCCCAAAGCCUAUGUGUGUACUCAGACGGGCCCCAAAGGCCUGUAUCUCAUCUGUAUCAUUUGUAUCUCAAUAUCUGUUUGUAUCUUAUAUCUGUAUCUCUGUAAUCAUCAUACCGCAUGCAUAUGCCCCCAAAAGGCAAAAACGCCCAAACACAUGGCCCAAAGCCUCUAUGUGUGUUCAGACGGGCCCCAAAGGCCUCUCAUCUCAUAUCACCUGUAUUACUGUAUCUGGAGGAGAAGGAUACUGUCUAAUGAUUUCAAAAACAAUCAUUAUACUCAUAUUCACAUACCUUUUAAUCAUACUUUAAAUCAUACCACAUUCAAAUCCACUUUUCUUAUCUUUAAAAUAUUAUCAUGCUUUAUUCAAAGUCGAUACGCAAAAUCAAUAACCAAACAUUUUAAUAAAAUACCAAUGCGUGAAUAAAAAUCCAUUUCGAGGAAAUCAUUAAAUCAGAACAUUUAAAAUACUUAUUUCACAAACAUGCAUUACUAUCAUAAUUAACUAUGAAAAUAGGUUUUGUAUAUUCCACUCACAGUGACGGUGUUCACGGUCGGUUAUCGUCCACGUCCGCGGACCGGUUCUCGCUCGCGGAUCCUCCUAAAUCAAGGAAACGACAUAAUUAUUUUCCGUAAAUCGGAAUUACGGCUAAAUUUAUGCAAUAAACUCGAAACGAACAUCUAUCCAUAAUUGACAACUCCCGUGUCCAUAAAAUUACUAAAAUGCCCUUGAGUCCGUAAAUCAUUAACACAUACUCUGAAAUUGUACAACACCGAAUUACCCUCGGAAUCGUAAUUACACCCACUCCUCAAUUCUAGGAAUUACUAAAAUAUCCACAGGCUCAGAAAUUACAAAAUUGCUCUCAUAGUGUGAAAUUACCAAAAUGCCCUUGCCGGUCAACGGUCACAGGAAUUUGGUCAACGCUGGUUAGGAAGCUCAAAUCUGAAAGUUCAAAUCACGCUGAGUUCAAUGGUACCGGCGGUGAGCUCCAUGCGCGGCAACGGCGCCGGAAUCGAGCUCGACAGCCGUGAAUUCCAACAAUCGACCGGCGGCAAAAUAGUGACUCUCGGUGCCUAUGGAUGGUCGGAAAUGGAAGAGGGAGUCGUGGGGAACAAGAUCCAACCGGUGGUGUCACCCAAAACCGGCGAAAAUCCCGGCGGAGUAAAGUGAAACAAUCGCGGGUUCAAGCUUCAAUUGCCGGCGUUCCGGUUGGUUUUCGGCGGCGAGGAUGGCACGGGAACGACGGUCGGCUUCUAAGCUUCAGAUUGGUACCAAGCUCGGCUGAAACGGUGGCCGGAAAUGGGAGAUAUGGUCGGGUCAAGGUCGCCGGUUCCGGGUCGAGUUUUCGGGUCCGUAGUUGGAUCGGUUUGGCAGUUUCCCUUCACUCUCUCUCACACGUGCAUGUUUUUACCCUGUUUCCAGCUUAUUCUUUUACUUAUAAACUCCUUAACCGCCUCAUUUUCAUUUUGAAAUUCACAUAUGUUACAUUUAUUACCUUUUGUCCUUCACCUUUAAUUUCUUAAGUUUGACAUCAGUUUUGUUGGCCUCACCCUUGGCUGAAAGCUUUUUCCGUCACGUAGAUCGGUGAAAAUGAUUUGAUUAAUUGUGGCUCGUAGGUAAGAAUAAUUGAUGGUUGUCGAAGUCAGUAAAAAUAAAUACUUACUCUAAAUAAAUUGUGUAUAGUGAUUGAGCAGGGUCGUGUCCACAGAGAUCGGUAAUAUUUAAAUCUUUUUUAAAAUGUAAAUUGCAAAAUGGGGGGAUUGUUGAUAAUAAUAAAAAUCAAAUUAAAAUUGGGAAAAGCUUUAGUUGAAGGAAUUAACUCAGCUUGAUUCGACUACUGAUCAUUAAUUCAAAUAUAAAUCAUUACUACUUAUGAAUAGACCGGUUAUAGCUACUGAGACCCUCUAAUAGCUAAUCUCUCAUUAACUAGUCGAUAACCAAGGUACGACCAUUGGUUAUUUCCCUAAUCAAUAGAUAACCCUAGAUACGAUCAUAAAAUUUAAUCAAUUGACAGCCUGAAAAAUCAGAGAGACCCAAAUCCUAAUCAACAAACGCAUACGAUGGUUCAUUUAAAUUAGAUUGUUUAUUCUCAUAACACAACGCACUACUAUGCUAUUUGUCACAAAUAUUAAAAUCUUCAUACGAUGAAUCCUUUAAUUGACAAUAGAUUAAGUUGAUAAUUAAAUAGUGGCCAAUUAUCUAAUUAACAAACAUAAUCAUGACAAUAAUUUAGAGAAUAAACAAAUACCCAAAAAGUAAUAAAAUAAUUAAAGCAUAAGAAAGAUCUCACAGUAAUGAUGAAUCAAAGCUUCAUUAAUCUUCAACCAGAAUAAUAGGUUUAGUUAUUCACAGAGAAAAGAGAAAAAUUUAGAUCUAGGGUUUUUUUUUUACAAUAGAUUCCCCCCUUUAAUUCUCUCUCCCCUCUUCUCCUCUAGAGUUCUUUUUAAAAUAAAAUACUAAUAUCUAUUAUCUAAAUAUUAAAUUCGGAAUUACAAAAAUAACCAAAAAGAUAAAACACGUUAAACUAAUAACUGCAGAUCCGUAGUUGACAAUACGCGUCCACGCCUUAUCAACAAAGUUCUUCUGAAGCUCAUAAUUUCUCCAGGAAAACAAUCAUCCUAAAAAAUCAUCUUGUAGCUCAACUUUAUUACCAAUCAAUAGAAUUACACCUACAGAAAUAAAACACAAGUAAAUCACUAUUAUUAAGUGCAAAACAUCGAUAUUAAAGAAAGUAAACAAUGCAAAACUAGAGCAUAAAUUGCACUCUAACAAUAAUUAUUGUUUUUUUGUGUUCAUGUUUUUAAUUUAUUGGAUUUAGUUCACAAUUUAUUUUACAACAACUGAAAUAGAUGUUAAUUAGGAUAGAUUCAUUUUCUUGUUUAGUAUAUAGAAUUUUCUACUUUAAUUUAAUUGUAUCUUAAUUUUUUUUUUUGUUUAUAUAUUGUUAUGCAGUGAAUCAAGAGACCUAGGAAGAAAAAAUUAUGGUAUUCAACUUUCAUAAGGAUUCAAUUGCUCAGUCCACAUUAAUUCUAUCUUUUGUCAACACCAAAAUAUCAUUGGAAAGAGUGCCGCGUAGCUUUUGGUGUAUUAUCUUUUAUUUAAUUUUUUGUCAAGGAUUCAAUGACUAAUACAUAUUUAUUUUAUCUUUUAGCAACAUUAAGUCAUUGUAGUAGCAUCAUGCGGCUUUAAGUCAUUGUAGUAGUGUCGUGUAGGAUUUGUAUUUUGUUUAAGUUGCACAUGUGUUUGUUGAAAUUAUUUAUAAAAGAAUAUUAUUCCACUAAUCCAUUGAUUUUUCUUUUUUCCAUGGGGCAAUUAAUAAAAUCAAUUUGGGCCAUAUAUUUGUCAAUUAAUUCACUGAUCAUUUUCCUAGAGGGGAUUAAUAAAAUGAUAAUUUUAACGAUGAAGUAGAAUAAAAUGAGUUUCAAUAAUCAUUUUCUUCGAAAUACUAAAAUUUAAUUAGAAAUAUAAAUUUUUUCAAACUAAAAUAACAUAUUUUCAAUUGCAUAACCAAUUAGAACUAAUAUUUUUCCGAUUUUUUUUCAUCUGUUUUUACCCCUAGAAAAUAGUGUAUUUUUAAGAGUAAUCAGUUAGUUGAAAUUGAUAUUGCAAAUACAACCGCAAUCGAGAAUUCUCUCCUUUACUACUUAAACUAGAAAAUAGAACCGCGUUUCACGCGGCUUUGAAAAAAUUUAGUAUUAUCUUUUUUUCUUACUUUACACUUGAUGAAAUUGAUAAAAAAUAUGAAUUGAUUUUUUUUUUAAGAUGAGGCGGCCUUAUAAAAAAUAAAAAAAGAUAUUAGCCAGCAAUACAAAUAAAGAAGCAACGCAAGAUAAAGAAUAAAAUGAGAUAAUAUAUUAUAGAGUGAUUUUAUUCAUUCUAAUUGUGUGUGUACAAAAUAAAAAGAUGAGCUCUCCUUUUUAUAGUUACAUAAUCACUCCAUGAAAUUAAUGAAAAAUUAUGGAUCAUAAUUCAUUGUGAGAUAGUGGGAGUUAUAGGGAAGCUAAAGGUUGCUAAUGGGAGAUAGUGGGGAGACUAAGAGAUAUAUGUUAUGAACAUCUACAUUUAUUUUAAUAAAUUCAUAACACUCCCCCUUGGAUGUUCAUUACAAAGAAUAUGCCUCAUUAAAAUCUUUACAUAAUUGUUAUUGUGUAAUAACAAUCAAAUUAAUUAUGAAAAGAUGAAAAGCCAAAUCUAAAAGAAAAUUUAUCUAUUUAUUAGAUAAUAGAGAAUAUACAAAGAUGAGAAAUUGUGAUGCCACAUCACCUCCUCAAAUCCCAACUUUAUAUAUAUAUAUAGAUUGGUCAUGAAUAUGAGUCCUCAGUCACAUGUCCAUAUUAAUUUUGAGAAAUUUAUAAAAAUGACCAUAGAACUUUUACGUUUUUCAACUUUAACCCCCCAAAAUUUUUUCUAUCAUAACUAGCCAAAUAUCUUAUUUUUGGACUAGAUUACCCUCAUCACUUUCAUCAAAUUCACAAAGGUAUGCCACUUUUUCAAUUCCAGCACCACUAAAUACGAAUCUUCCUCAACAACUUAACAAACCUUCAUCACUCUCAACAAACUUCAUCACUCUCAAUAAAUCAACAAAUUCCAUCAAACAAACAUUGCAUAAUUGAAGAUACAAUCAUCAAUUGGAGAGCUUCUUAAAAUUAGUUUAUGCUCUUACACAAUGUAAACCUUUAAUCUAUUGAUUUUAUCAACUAAGUUCGAAAUUAAAGUGGGUUUUGUUGCAAAUGUUGUUAUUUUUCAUUCAUAAAACAAUGUGAUUUGUUAAAGUACUUAGUUUGAGUUGAGAAAUGAAGAAAAAUCAUUAAAAAUACAGAAAAAUCGGGCAAAAAAUGAAGUCCAAAACAAGUGAGACAAGCAGUGAGACAUGUGUCUGUCUCACAUAAACCCACUGAUUUUAUGGAAUAUAUGAUUUUGGAUUUGAUUUGUCUCGUCGUAAGCUUCGAAACGGUAUAAUUAUUACAAUAUUUUGGCUCACUACUCCGAACCCCAAUACACAUAAUCUCUCAAAUCACUAGAACAAGAGCUUUUAUUAUUUAAGCUCUACAAAACUCUCUGCUCUACAGGAAAUGCUUCUCACAAAAUUGGAUGCAGAAAUGAGGAGGAGGAACCUCUUUUUAUACCAAAACUUGGCUACUGUUCAUGCUUUAUUUAAUUAUUAUUUUUUUUCUUCUUCCUUUUCGGUCCGGCAUUCAUUUUUUCUUCCUCUUUUGUCUUCUUUCUUCUUUUCUUUUGUUCCGGUCAAAGAAGCAACCAAUGCAUUCUUCUUCAAAAUCAGUGGGCCCACCUUCUAGAAGGGUGGUGCCCACAUGCCAUUUUCAUCAUUAAAUAGAUGAGGGUUGGAAUAGAAUCUUUUCAAUGUGAAUCAUGAAGGAUCUAUUCAAAAUAAAAGUGAUAAAGAUUAAGAAAGAACUUAAGAAGCUAAGAGCUUUUAGAAGUCUUUGAAGAAAUAAUAUUAAUUUGAAAGGAAAAGAAUUUAAAAUGAAGAAGAAAAAGAUAAUUGAUAAGAAGUAAGACUAACUGUACAUCUGAUUGAGGAACAGGCUUGUUAAUUCAAACUAUUAUAACCAAUUGGGAAUUGAAUUAAGUUAACAGUUAACUCGUAAUUGAAUGUCUAAACUAACAAUGUAUACAAUUACAGAUGAGACUAUAAAAUUGCAAAAAUACUGCUGAUUGUGAAUCAAUUUGAACAUGCCAAUCCUUAGGAAUUCCUUUCAGUAUCAUGGGAUUUAGAUCUCAAUUACCUUUUUUAUUUGAGUACGAUGACAUCCCGAACUAUCAAAAAUACCCACUUGUCCAAACGUGCCUAUGUCCACUUUAUCAUUUAUAUAUGAAAUGUUCUAAUUAAAUGGAGCAAGUCCACAUAAUACAAUCAUUUUCAAUUACCCAGCAUUUGGAAUACAGAUGCUUUGUUUCUUCGUUUUUUUUAUUUUUUGUUCUUUUUUAUUUACUUGAUACAACUAAUAAGUAAACUCAUAGCAUUUUCUAUCACCUCUUUUUUUUUUGGGAGUAUUAGUAAAUCAACUCUGUAAUGCUCUGCCUCUUUACCAUAAAAGCUGCAUUUUAAUGGCAUCAGCUUACAGUUAUGUGUACUAAGUAAAACAAUUCUUUAUUGUGACAUUUUCAUCCUCCAGAAAAUACAUAAAUAAAAUAAAGGAAAUUUUAUUUUUGUUAAAAUCCAUGAAUAUUAAUUACUACCUUGUUCACUGUUCAGUAAAAAUAAAACAACAGUUUUUUUUUUUUUUAAUUUAACAAUAUUGUGUUAGAAUAUACUUCCCAGGUAAGGUUGAUAGAAAAAACCAAAUUUCAAUCAGUAUUGGGAUUCUGUCCCAAAACAAGCACUUACUUAUUACAACUUUUACUAACUUAUUUUUCCACCACACAAUUUACUCAAUUUUUAUUUAUACCACACAAUUUAACUUAUUUUAACUACCACUAACUUAAGUUACUUGGCUAGGGUAAAAUUAUGUUGCAACUGUGGUAUGAUACCACAAUUACAAUCAAUCAUUAAAUUUACAGUUGUACAAUUGUAUUUAUUGGACCUAAUGAUUAAAAGUAACUGUGGUAUCUUGCAACAUAAUUGGACCUACUUUGCUAACAUAUUAUAGAAACCAACAUCCCAGAUUUUUCUUAAGAUAUUUCUACAGAUAUUUUAACAUUUUAGAUUAUAAAUUACUUUUCAACACUUAAUUUAAUCACUGAUUGUUGACGACGACGAAGCCAACAAAUUUGUUUCGUUGUGCUAAUCGGACAAGCGAUAAGGACUUCACAAGAGUACAAAACAGAGCCUCGAUCUAAUAAUAUUACUGAACAUAGCAUUUUUGUUUCCUUAUUAAUGGAUUUGUUUCCUUAUUAAUGGAGAGAAGCAGUUCUGUUUUUGCAGUGAUUAAGCGCAUAGAAGAUAUUAAUGGCUUUACUUAUCAUCAUCAACUUCCUUUUGUGUCUCCCCUUCUUCCUCUUCUUCUUUGCUUUGCAAAGGCUCAUAACCUCAAGAAAUAAUACUAAAUUACCACCCGGCCCCUGGGGCCUUCCCUUAAUCGGUAACUUACACCAGUUUGAUGUCUCAAAGCCUCAAGUGUCAUUUUGGGAGCUGUCACGGAAAUAUGGCCCCCUCAUGUCCUUGCGUCUUGGUUUUGUGCCAUCCCUAGUAGUUUCCUCAGCAAAACUGGCUAAAGAGAUAUUAAAAACCCAUGACCUUCAAUUUUGUAGCAGGCCAGCCUUGGUAGGACAACAAAAGUUAUCUUACAAUGGUCUUGAUUUGGCGUUUUCACCCUAUGAUGGUUAUUGGAGAGAGAUAAGAAAAAUUUGUGUCAUUCAUCUCUUUAACUCUAACAGGGUAGAAAAUUUUCGACCCAUUAGAGAAGAUGAAGUUUCAAGAAUGAUUGAAAAGAUUUCAAAAUCAGUUGCUGCUUCUAAUCCCGUAAACUUAAGCGAGGUAAUGAUGUCUCUUACCAGCACCAUUAUUUGUAGAAUUGGAUUUGGCAAGAGGUAUGAUGACGAUAAAGCAACAAGUGCAAGAAGUAGAUUCCAUGCCCUGCUUAAUGAAACUCAAGCCUUGUUUGUAAGCUUUUUUGUUACAGAUUAUUUUCCUUUCAUGGGCUGGAUUGAUAAGCUCACAGGAAUGAUGCAACGCCUGCAAAAUAACUUCCAAGAACUCGAUAGAUUCUACCAGGAACUCAUCGACGAGCAUUUGGAUCCAAACAGAACAAAAUCAGAAUUGGCGCAACAGGAGGAUAUAAUUGAUGUUUUACUUCAAAUACGAAAAGAUCGUGGAUUUAAAGUUGACUUGACUUUGGACCACAUCAAAGCGGUGCUCAUGGUGAAUAAUUUUAUAAAUAGUUAUAUGUAGACUCGUGCUCAGGCGCAGACUUAAAAUUUUGUGCAGAUACCCAAUUUUACAGUCUUGUAAAAUGGUUUAUAAUGCUGUAAAGUGCCUUUGAUGUCCGCCUGAACAUGAUUAAUUUAAUGUAAUUUUAUUUGCUUUUAACUAAUUUACUAUGUAUGUAUGUAUGUUGUUUGUUUUGCAGAACGUACUCGUUGCUGGAACAGACACGAGUGCAGCAACUGUGGUUUGGGCCAUGACUUACCUAAUGAAGAAUCCUAGAGCAAUGAAAAAAGUUCAACUGGAAAUCAGAUCGUUGAUUGGGUGCAACAAAGGCUUUGUAAAUGAAGAUGAUGUUCAAGAACUGCAUUAUCUUAAAGCGGUAGUGAAGGAGACAAUGAGAUUGCAACCCACAGUACCAUUACUAAUCCCAAGAGAAACAAUUCAAAAGUGCGUAAUAGAUGGGUAUGAAAUACCAGCUAAAACACUUGUCUUUGUAAAUGCAUGGGCGAUAGGAAGAGACCCUGAAGCUUGGGAGAAUCCGGAGGAAUUUUAUCCGGAGAGAUUCGUUGAUAGCUGUAUUGACUUUAAAGGGCAACACUUUGAAUUAAUACCGUUUGGUGCUGGCAGAAGAAUUUGUCCUGGGUUGAAUAUGGGAAUCGCAACUGUGGAUCUCGCACUUGCUAAUCUUCUUUACAAAUUUGAUUGGGAAAUGCCGCCUGGAAUGAAGAGCCAAGACUUGGACUUUGAUGUUCUGCCGGGAAUUACUAUGCAUAAGAAGAAUGCUCUCUCUCUUUCGGCUAAGUAUCAUGAGUAGGUAAAUUAAGGCACCUCGGACAAUAAGAGUUUGAUCUGAACUAAAUAUAUGUUAUAGAGAUUGCAUGUAUGUCCUGAAUUGUGCUUCUCAUGUUUCCUUUCUUUCUUCUUAUGUAUAAUGAAUGUUGAUGUCUAAGUGCCCAUAGGCUGAGUGGUUUUUAAUAAUUAAAUUUCUUUUAGUUCAAAAUUUUGGGAGGUAAGGACUAGAGAAUAAUAGUUACUCUGCUCACUCUCCUAUACUAAAAAAAAAAGGUUGAUAUGAAUGUGAAUAUUAAUCUAGUACGUUCAUUUCAUCUCAUAUUUUUUCUCCUAUAUUUUUUUCUUUAAAUUUAACUUCUAUCACUUAACCUGCUAUCUUUUUAUAUGAUUGGAUAGAGAUUGAAAUUUUUGCUGUUCCAUCUCAAUGUUAAUGCUUAUAUUAUCUUCACACCUUUACUGUAAUUUUUUACUUUUACUAUUAGAUGCUGAUAGGGUCUUUUCUUGGAGAUUGCUUCACAAAAAAAAUUCUGAAAGAAGAUUUUGUUGAUCGGAUAGCAAGCUUAUCCAUAUAGUUUAAUGGAUUAUCUGCAAGAGCUCUUUUUAGUGCGCAUACAGUUGUCCCUUCAUGUUAGCAUAUUCAUUCUGUCGUCAAUGAACUUUUGCAUUUAAAUGGUAUCAGUUCAAGUGAUGAAUGAAUUUUACCUAUUGCCUAUCUUGGACUAAAUUUAAUUUCAAAAAAUGAGCUUCCAGCUUAUGACUUAUACGUAUCUUGCACUUUGGUUUUACGAUCACCAUUGGAUGGAAGAGUGGCUCGAGUUUGUUAAUUGCUUCAGUCCCAGGACUAGUGUUUGGAAACAUAAAAUUUCUCAGUUCAGCAGCUAUAAAUCUGUUUCAUGAUUGUUAUUGCACACUAUUUCCUAUAUUUUUGUCUCCAUGCUCAUACUGAAUUAGUGGUGCAUUUGUCAUCUUUCGCCUCUCAUUAAAAUGUGCUUAUUAUUUUUUAUUUCAAUCGUAGGAUGGGAAGAUUGAUACUGAUUCCAUCUACAAUGGGUUUAAAGACAACGUGAGGUUAAUGUGGGAGCGUUUCUUGUCAUCCCAGCAAAUGUUGACAUAAACAACAGACUGCAAGCUUCCCCUACUCUCUGUUCAUAUUUGCAUUUGUGUGCAUCUUGUACUUGUUGUUGCAGAAAGAUGAAUAUGUAAGAAUAAGAUCGUGUUUGUAUGCAAUGGUCAAAUGUUUUUGCAAAAAAUGUCGUUGCUUGAGUUCCUCAAUUCUCAUUCUGAACUUCAAAUUUUGUACAUUUCUUUAACUUAAUUUUUUUUUUUUCUGUGUAAUAGUAGUAUAAGUUUGGUAUCAAAAUUAAGCUAGUGACAUACUUGGAUCACUUGGGAUCCACUUGCAAAUGUAUUUUGAAGAAAAGUUUUCUCCCCGCCUUUUAUGUAAUCACACCCACCAGUAAUAUGGUAAUUUAUUGAAAGGUCCUUGAUGCCCGGUAAAAGUUAUAAUUAAAUUAAUAAACUUAUCUUUUUAAAUUAAUAAACUCAUCUUUUUGAAUAAGUUCAUCAUUUUGUACGUAUAUUAGUUUUUUUUUUUUAAAUUCCUUUUAUUUCUAAACUAUUGGUUGGAAGCAAAUAUUUCACUGUAAUCUCCUGUCGACCAAAGGAGAUGCCUUUCCCAAAGCAAGAAAAGAAAACACAAAAAGCCCACUUCAAAAACUUGUGCAAGAAGGAGAUGUGAUUACGCUGUCUUUCUGUUUCUUGGUGCGUGUAUAGAUAUAUACAUACACACAUAAGUCUGAGGACCAGCUGGCCAACAGCCCACUAGGAAGCAAUUUUAAAAUUUUUGGUCAGUAUUGUUCUUUAUAUCUUAUGAAUUUUUCCUUCAAUUAUUAUAUUUUCACUCAGUUUUGUUUUUGGGCACGCGUUAUGUGAUUUUCUUUUGAUGAUUUCCGUGGCUUCUUUUUAGCUCUUAUUUUACUGUUUCUACUGGUUAGUUUAGCUACUGUCUACUGAGAUAAAAUUAUUUGCUUGAAUAACUUAAUCUUUUGCUAUUUUAUUACGUUCAGUUUAUAUACAGUUGAUUCAUUGUAACAAAUGUUAUCAUAAAUGAUUCUUGAGUAAUUUCAUUUAUUUACUUUUUCUUCUUUCAUAGUUGGCCUGUACGGUAUCAUUUACUUUUAUCUUUUUUCAAAUUUCUUUUAAUCUACAGAAUGUUUGUUUUAGUCCUGAUCUUGGGUUACUGAAAUGUUUCAUUCCCUUUUCCUAAGUAUUUUUGUUGCUUGUUUAUCGGGCAAUACUGCAACAGUGAUUUUAAUUCACAAAAUUCUGUAAAUACUUAUUAUUCUUAGUGUGGUUUUAAGGUAGAGUGAAGUUAAUAUUAUCAUAAUGGCUUACAUUCCUCCACAUAUGAGGCAUACGAAGGACCCCCAGAGGCCAUCUCCAGUUCCAGAGAUGAUUGUGCCUAAAUUCAACAGAAAAUUAAACUUGGGAUCAUCCAAGCAUAAUGCAGACAUAAGUGGAAAGAUCGUGUAUGCAGAUCCUGCCAUACACAGGUGGUUCAUUUGUGGCUUGGAUAAUGAUAGCAGCAGUCCUUCUGUCCGCUUUGUGGAGUUUUCAGACGACCCUGUUGAGCAUAAAAAAUCGACGACCAUUAAUCUGGCUCGAGGUUACUGAUCUGCAUUUGUAAUUUUAUCUUAAAUAUGUUCUACUUUCUUUCUUUAUUUAUAUCUGGUGCUAACUUUAGUUAUAUUGACAUUUGGAUUUUGGGUUGGUAGAUAACGAUAAAUUGUGUGGGAAUACAUCAAGAAGCCCAUGGGAAUCGAUAGCAGAAAAUGUAUGGCCAGAUGUAUUGAGUGCUUGUAAUAUUGUCAAGAACGAAAUGGAGGAAAAGCCAACAAUGGUUGCUAGAUUUGGCCAUCAUCUUUUCCGUGAGUAUGUGAUCUGGUUCCAUUGCUGUAACAGCUUGAAUUUUUUAUUAGGUCAUUCCUUUUCUUUGGACUUUGAAAUUAAAGCAGCAAAAAUGCAUAUUCAUACUUAAUUCUGACAGAAAUCUUAUGGUCAUAUAAGUGGUGGCAGCUAAAAUUAUGAGCUUUACCAUUAACCCUACCACCAGCUGUGGAUGACUGUAAAUCGGAUCUCUAAACCAGGGACAAAAGUUAAAAUUGCUUUUAAAAGCCAAAGAGGAAAAUGGCAAUUUAUAGUGCAUGCACUUCUUUCAGACUUGUAUCUCAUAGAAGCUUUCAUGGCAUCUGGAAUUUGGCUUUGGCUUUGCGUAGGACAUUUCAAUUGUUGCUGGUGGAAACAAAUAUAUCCAUUGUCUUAGUUUUGCUUGAUUUCCGGUGCAAGAAACAAAUAAAUUUGUUGCCGUGGCCAAGUUUUGUUGUUUGAUAUUUCAUUGGGACAACAAAGUAUACCACUGCUUCGCCUAUUUCUUACAUCUUUGCAUCAUAUAUUUCCAUUCUUCUAUCACAUCUUUGAAGCUUCUACUAGUUCUCAUAUUAGAAGCGCCUCAAAGAAAUAAUUAUUAUAUUAUUCGUCUUAAUGAAGGAGUGACAUACUGAGCUUAGAAAAUGCGAAAGAAGGUCAGGUUGCUGAAUCUGCUUUGAGCCCACUGAGGAGAUGCUUUUACACUGGUGUCCCUCCUACAUACAUGGGAAAAAUUGUAAAUGAAGUUGUGCCAAAAAUUGGGGUUGGUUUUGUAGAGAACAAGGAUAUAUACCAUGUCAAGGUAGUUCUCCUGCAGUCCUGCUAAAUACUUUAGUAGUCAUGACCAAGUUUCUUUUAUCUCUCAAUUAAUUAGCCAUUGAUUCCCCCCCCCCCUUUCUUUUUCUUGUGUAGUUGUCUGAUGGCACACGACAAAUUACGUGCAAAUGUACUGUUAAAGAAGAUCAAAAGCUUCAUCUCUAUAAGGCAAGUCUUUUGCUACUGGCUGAGUAUUAUUUAUGGACAACGGGUCCAAGUUUAUAAGUUGCCUCUUGUGUUAAGGAGACUUUUGCUAGUGGAAACAUUGAAACAAGACUUAUGAUGUUUUGAUUUGAAUGAUAUAAUCUUUUCACUGUGAAUUAUGAAGGAGAUGUCGAAUAUAAGCGAUAGAUAUCAAGAAAGAGACGAAACCUUUGUGUCUCAAAAGAACCUUUUAGAAGUCUCUCCAGGAAUAAUCUCAGUUAAGAGGAAAAGAAUUUAAAAUGAAAAGAAGGAAGAAAAUUCUCAAGAAGUAAGACUAAUUCUACAUCUAAUUGAGGAACAGGCUUGUUAAUUUAACAAGGAAAGCUCCAGUAGCUAUUUAUUAUAAACCAAUUAAAAAUUGAAUUAAAUUAAUAGUUAACUUGUAAUUGAAUGUCUAAUCCAACAAACUAUGCAUAAGAUUACAGACGUAACUAUGUAAUACAAAAAACCUCUGCUUAUUGUAGACCAAAGUGAAUAUGCCAAUAUUUAGGAAUUUCUUUCAGCAUCAUGGGAUUUAGAUCCCUAUAAUCUUUUUUUAUUUUAGUGUAGUGACGUCCGGAAGACCAGAAUUAUCACGUACCUCGUACUAGUCGUUUUAUUUAUUUUGUCUUUUAAAGCGCCACAUUAUUUCCCAUACAGUCAUAAUAUAUCUAUUUUUUGUUUAUUUAUCGUUGCCGUGUGUGGAGUCUCAUCUUGAAUAUGAACAUUUUUCCGGUAGGUCGAACUGAACUCUGUUCGUCACAUGGUAGCAGACAUGUUAUGCGUUCAUAAAAAUCUAGACCUGAGGUUGGCACUAUGUUCAAAGAGUACCUUAUCUGCUCUCUCGGUAAGUCAAUCUGCUCCUCCGUGCAUGUUUUAGCUGGACUUUUAAGUUACGCCUUCUUUUUUCCCCUUUUUAUUUUAUUUGGUCAUUUGCUUGUUGGAAUCAUCAUCAUUACAGAAUGAUGAAGAAAAAUUCAAGACCAGGGGAAAUAAGGAAAUAUUAAACUUAUAGCUUUUGUUUUAUCAUAGAAAGUUUACUUUCAAGGGGUUGAGAAAAAAUUUAUAUAUAUAUAUAUACACACACACAUACACACACACACACACACACACACGACAAGCUUAAAACGGUUAAACAUUAGCAUGCAUGAUCCUUUUCUUCAAAACUGAAACUUUACAAAUGUUAAAAAUAGAAUAACAAAUAAAUUAUUAGAUUUCCAAAAUCAGUUACCGUUAUGCAGGCUUAAAACAAAAGUUAAAUAUAAGCUCUUUUUUUUUUUUUUGGGGGGGGGGGGGGGGGGGGGGCGUGUGUGCCUAUGAGUAGUCCCAGCAAAUGAAUUCUAUGAUCAAACUGAAAUUUUUGAAUUUUCAGGAUGAUGAAAUGAACAGCAUUAGAAUUCUGAUUAAUUCAGCCAUUCCGGAUCCGGAAGUCAAGGGUGGGUUAAGAUGGCCCAUGGGGAAGUCAUAUUCAGGGGAUUACACAAUUGUUGGGGUUUGGCACAAUGAAUUUAAAUCAUAUAAAAGCCCAUCACUAAAGCUUAAGGUAAGAAAUGUUGAUCGAUUUAUUUUCAAGACUGGAACUGGGGAAGCUACGAUUGAGAUUAAUCUAAAGUUGAGAAGACUAGUUUCAGAGAUUCAGGUACUUGCUGCUUUUUGCUUUAACUUUUAUCACAAAACCUACUAUCUUUGUGCAUGAUUACAUGGAUCUUGAAAUUCUUGCUGUUAUGUCAUAAUGUUAAUGCAUAUUUUGUCUUCACGCAUUUCUUACUGAACUUGUGUCUUGAGCUGUAAUUGUAAUUUCCAAUUUUUACUAUUAGAUGGGUAUUUUAUUGGGGAUUUCUUUACUUAAAAAAAAAAUAUGUUUGACAGAGAAUAUUUUAACGAUGAGAUUGCAAUAUUGUAAUAGAUAAUCUUCAGGAACUCUUUUUACCUUUUAGUAGUUAUGCAGUUGCUCCUCUGUGUUAGCUUAUUUAUUCUAUCAUAUGUAACGAAUGACUUUUUACCAAAUUUGAUUUCAAAGCUGAGCUUCCAGCUUAUGACUAAUAUUUGUGUCUUGCACUUUUGUUUUACAAUCACCAUUAGAUGGAAGAGUGCUUAGAGUUAGUUAAUUGAUUCAAUCCCAGGAUUAGUCUUUUGAAACAUAAAAUUUAUCGGCUAAGCUAUAUAAAUCUGUUUCAUGUUUCUUAUCGCACACUAUUUCGUAUGGCUUUGUCUCCAUGCUCAUACAAAAUUAGUGUUGUAUUAGAUGUCUUCUGUCUUUCAUUCACAUGUACUUAUUACUUUUUCUUUCAAUCGUCAGGAUGGGGAGAUUGAUACUGAUUCCAUCUACAAUGGGUUUAACGACAACUUGAGGUUAAUAUGGGACCAUUUCUUGUCAUGGGAGUCAUAACUUUUGACAAAAACAACAGAUUGCAUGCUCUCCCCGCUCGGUUCAUAUUUGCGUUUGUGUGCAUCCUGCAGUUGAAGAUGUAGAAUGAUGUAAAUGCAAGAAUAAGAGCAUGUUCGUAUCCAAUGGUAAAAUGUUUUUGCUAAAAUGUAUGGACUUGUAACAGCUUGUUGCGUGAGUUUCUCAAUCUCCUGAACCUCAAAUUUUGUCCUAUUUUCACCCCGGCUUUUUCCCCCCGUCCUCUGUAAUAGUUAUAUUUGGUAUAAGUUUGGCAGUUCCUGUGUAAAGUGUUUCAUAUUCAUGUGUGGAAUAAAUAUCAACAUCCAGAUACAAGAAAGUUUGAUUUUAUUUGUAAGACCUGUCUCUCAAAGUUAAUCUAGUGACAUGCUUGAAGCACUUGGGAUCCACUAGUUGGAUGUAUUUUUGUUAAGAUUUAUUUAGCAUUUUGUAUGUGUAUCAGUGCCUUUUUUUUUUGUUGUUAAACCGUUGGUUAGAGGGCAAAUAUUUCACAUUAAAGUGGGGUCUGCUUGCCACCAAGGGAGAUGCCUUUCCCAAAGCAAGAAACGAAAACUCAAAAGCCCACUUCAUAACUUGUGUAAGAAGGAGAUGUAAUUGACAUAUGCUGUCCUUUUUCUUGGUGCGUGUAUGUGUGUGUAUACACACUUAAUUCCGAAGAUCAACUGAGCCAACAGCCAAAACUUGAAAGCAAUUUUAAAAUUUUCGGUUAGUAUUGUACUUUAUAUCUUUUGAAUUUCUCUUUAAUUUAUUAUAUUUUCACUUUAGUUUUGUUUCUGGGUACUCUUUAUGGGCCACAAUUAUGGUACCACUGUGGUACCAUACCACAGCUGGAUCCAGCCAUUGGAUCCGGCCUACAGUGGUCCCCAUAGCUGGAUCCAAUGGCUGGAUCCAGCUGUGGUAUGGUACCACAGUGGUACCAUAGCCGGACCCCUCUUUAUGUGCUUUUCUUCGAUGAUUUUGGUGAGCUCAUAUUUUACUGUUUCCACUGGUUAGUUUAGUUAUUGUCUACUAAGAUAAAAUUAUUUGCUUCAAUAACAUAGAGUAUUGAGGUGUUGUAAUUUAAAAUUUUAGAAAAAAAUAUAUUUAUAAAAUAAAAGUUAAUAGUAUGUGGUAAAUAUAAUUUUAAAAUAAUAAUUUUAAUAAAAUUAGUAAAGAUAUAAUAGAUUUUCAUCAUAUAAAAGUAAAAUCAAAUCAACUUAAUUUCUAAACUACAUAAAUUAAUUUUUAUAAAACACUUUAGUGCUGUAACUACCCAACCUCAAUCUAAAGUAUAGCCUUAAUUGUUUGCUAUUUUAUUAUGUGAUUGUAUAUAGAGUUAAUUAAUUGUAUCAAAUGUCAUUAUAAAUGAUGCAUGAGCAAUUUCAUAUUGUUUUUCUUUCCUUCAUUGAUAAUUGGCUUGUCGGAUAUCUUUGAACUUUUUUUUUUCGCCUCAAAGUUCUUUUAGUCUGCAGAAUGUUGGUUUUAGUUUCGAUCUUGGUUACUGCAAUAUUUCAUUCAUUCUUUCUAAGCAUAGUGGGUUCAUUUCACAAAAUUCUGUAAUAAGUACUUAUUGUAGUUUAAGGUAGCGCGAAGUAAUAUUAUCGUAAUGUCUUACAUUCCACCACAUAAGCAGCAGUUUGUAAUCAAGACUGCAGAGAAUCUUGCAGAUAUAUUGACUAAGGUGGUGACGACAAUUAAGUUUGAGCAUUAUCUAAACUUGAUCAAUAUCUUACAAGUUUGAAAAUAGUCAGAGAAGACAGAGACUGGAGGAUGGUUUGUUGAUAGUCGGCUCAGAUUUACUAAAUUUUCGUUAAGGUAGAGAAUUGUUGAAAAAUCAAGCAUGCUUGCAUGAGCUAGCUAGCAUGCAAAUUUCAAGCCCACCAAUGUUCAGCUAGCGUGAUCCAAUUGCAUGUGCUAGCAUGAUCUCUUCGUCAAAAGUCACACCAAAGCCAUUAAAAUUGAAAAUGGCCAAAGUUUUUUUUUCAUGCAUUUAUAUUGUAAGAUUUGCCUAUAAAUAGAGGAGUAGAAUGCAUUUGUAAAGCAUCCCAAUUUGUGAGAAGUAGAGAGCAAUUGCAAGUGAGCUCUUUGAGAGAAUUUGAGAGAGCUUCCACUUGAGUGUUCUAGUUGUUGUGCAAAUUUUAAUGUACUCGCAAGCGCACGAAUCUAUUGUAGUAUAGAUCAAUGGUGACGAGUGUCGAUCCCACGAGGAGGUGGAUUUUAAUUGUGUAUAGAAUUAAUUUUGUAAAUGGGUGGUUGGAUCUGUGGUGGAAAUGAAUUGGAAUAUGCUAAAACUUAAAUUAAAAUGGCGAGAAUAAAUUCUAAAAUUGGAAUUGCAAUGGCGAGAAUAAAUUGAAGAGAAAUGUAUUGAAAUGACGUACUUGGGUAUCUGGAUCCGUAUCAACAUGCAUCAUGGGCUAAAUAAUCCGUAUUAAUGCCAAUUAAAUCAUGAGGGGGGAAUCCACACCUCAUGAACCACGCUCUAAUCAAUAUGGUGCUAAGGGCUUAUCGUGCCAAAUAAUAAUAACCUUAUACUAGAGAGCCGGUGUAACCAAGGCGGUAUCUAGACAAGAUCAGUAUUAUUUGUCGACGAUAAGUCAAAUCAUCCACAAAAACUAGAGGGGAAAAGAAAAUAAAUUUACCAAAUAAAGCCCAUGACACAUGUUGAGACUUCACCUUCAACCCAAGCUUGAAAGGAAAUUAGCUACUCAUAAUUGAACUAGGGGCAAAAUGAAAAUUUAUUAAAAUACGAAGAAAAUACAAGAUGGAGAAGGAAUUACAGAAAAUGGAUCCCAAAAAUGGAUUCAGAGAUAUCAAAUUAGGGGGGGGAGGCCCCUUUUUUAUAGAUACAUGGAGUAAAUCAUGGCCAUCGGAUUAAAAACAGUUUGGACGCUCAGGAUUGCGCCACGUCAUCAGUCAACAGUCCACGGUUUGACCACGCGGAUGAACAGUAACACGGUUUGACCACGCGGAUGAACAGUAACGCGGUUUGGUUGAAAAUAAUCCUGUGUGAUGCAUGCACCGUACGCGAGAUUUUUCGUCCACUGAUAUGCUGCCACGUCACCAUCAACAGUACAUAAGAAUUUUAGUCCAACAGGAUCGUGACACCUCAUCAGUCAAUGCCACAUCAUCGGUCAAUGCCACGUCAUCGAUCCGUCUAUGUGAACAGUGUCGUGAACAGUAACGUAGACAGUACCGUAUACGUGAAUAGUACCGUACAUGUGAAUAGUGCCAUUUUUCUUUUUAUGCCCCUCCUAAGGUUUUCGACCGUCCUGAGUUCAAAAGUGAUGUCCGUUUUGCCAUCUGAUCUCUCCUUUAUUGUGAAAUAACUAUAAUGCCCCUAAAAUACAUAAAAUACUUAAUUAAAAUAAAACACAUGUAAUUAAAUCACAAGAAGGUUAAAUACAUAAAAGUAAGGGUUUUUAAUAAGACUUGAAAUGUAAAAUGACGGUUUUCUCCUUUAUAAAUAUGCAUUUUCUAACACUCAACACACCCCCCAACCAGCUUAUUGCUAGUCCCUAGCAAAUAAAGCGAAAACAAAAUUCAAAUUCAAAAUGAUUUUUUUUUUUUUUUUGAACUACUCGUGUUUAUUCAAUCAGAUUAAUGAUAGCAAUCAAAUAAAAGUAUAAGCAUUAUCUCCAGUCUAAAGCAACAUCACACCCACAUCAACCAUCCACAUGAAUUAGCCCAGUAGACUUUGUUAUAGCUACUUUCAAGAAUGACAUGUCAAACCCCAAAAUCUCACUUGAAGUAGUGACACUCUCACAAAGAAAUUAAAACCCAAUAAACAUAGUCACUCCAAUGAAUGGUAAUUGAGAGAGAAAAUAAUAAAGAAAUGAUAUCACAUGCUCUCACCAAGAUGAAAUAAAUAUGCCCUCAGCUUAGAAAUAAUGCGAUCUCAAGUCAAAUAAAAUGUUAGUCAACCCACUUUAUUUAUCUUUUUUUUUUAUUAUUAUUAUGCAUCACUACAUCUUUUUAGCCCAUAUAACUAGCUUCUACUUCAAACUAUAGUUCCCUAAAAUCAAGAAGGACUUUUAUUAGGACGUAACGUAGGCUAGGGAUAUGGCUAACAAAGAAAGGAAAUAAGGAAAACAAAGUGUAUGUUUGAAAAAAAUGCAGAAUUUUUUUUUUUUUUUUUUUUUUGGAACUUGCAAGGUGGAUUUCACCUAUUAUUGUUAUUUUUAUUCUUUUGAAACAACAACUUUUGUUUUUGUUUUUGUUUUUUUUGUUUUUUUUUUUUGCUUUUAUUUGGCAUAACUUCACUGAACAACAUAAUUAUUUACAUUUUCUCAAACAUAAAUAGGUGAUGGAACUUAAAAGACAUUGGGUAAUACUCCAAAUCGGAGUGGGUCAAGAUGAUAAGUUGACAAAGAAAAGGUUUUUGUUCUUUUUUUUUUUUUUUUUUUUUUUUUUUUUUUUAAGGCUCAAAAGGGGUAACUAUGGAUAUUUAAUAAAAGGGAUGGCUAGAAAGGCUCAAACGGAUCAAAGAUGGCCUUUCUAUCGUCUUUUAGGGCUCUAAAUAAUUAUCCAUAUCUACUAGUUAGAUGGGCCUCCCAAUGUAGCAACACACAUUUUUUUCUUUUUUCUUUUUUUUUUUAAUUUUACCAUAUUUUUUUUUUUUUAAAAGGGUUAACUUAAAAGAAAUCUAGAGAUCGUGUAUAAAAUAAUAAACUGCUAAGCUGUAUAGAGAAUGGGUAAAAGGGUUACUCUCCAAGAAAAUGAUAGGCUCAACUACUCACUUGGCACUUAUUUAUGACAUGUUCAUUCCUUCAAGCAACUCAUAUUUGUCUCCGACAUCAACAUGUAAAGUAGCAAACAUAGCGUAACAUCACUUAAGACCAAAGAUAAUACAAAUACUAAAAUUUGAAAUUAGUCAUGUCAUCCAAUGUUAAAACAAAUAACACAAUUUUUUUUAAACAACAUUCUACCCCCCAACCUAUUCUAAACAUGAAAGGAAAAUAUGCAUGCAGAAAUGUGAAAAUGAUGUAGAAAAAUUAAUUAGAAAAAGAAUUUUUUUUUUUUUUUUUAAACUAAGAAGAUGCGUUUCUAGAGGCACUACACUCCAUAUUCAGCCAUCUUCGACUCAAAAAUUUGAAACUACAUAUUUAUAAAGGAGAAAGAGGAAGAAAACAGGUUUUUUUUUUUUUUUUUUUUAAAACGAUGAAGAUGCGUUUCUAGAGUAACUACACUCCAUAUUCAGCCAUCUUCAACAUAAAAUGUUAGCAACAGUUAGUUUCUACAACAAAAAAUCAGUAAAAACUUAACCAAGAUUCCACAAUUGUCGACUAUUCCCUUCCCCCAACUAGAACGAAACAUUGUCCUCAAUGUUUUAAAGGAAAGAAGUAGAGUUUAGAAGACAUCACCUGGGUGGUGCAACACAGAAGAAAAUAUUUACAAGCGGAGAGUUAAAUCUAAUUUGUACUUCUUACUGCGGCUACUGUUACCAUCAUUAUUUGGUCGCUCCAACACAAAGGUCCAGGGGUCUGGCUCCGGUUUAUAAGCUUGUAACAUAUCAAGUAGCUCAUUAGCAGUGUGAGCACAAAUAAAGAGUUUUUUCACAUUAGAAGGAAUGAAAUAGUUUUUUAUUGCAUGGUUAAGAAAUGCGAUAAAGUCAUCAUAAAAGUUAUUGACAUUUAACAAACCGAUAGGUUUCUGGUGGAUGUGCAGAUGGGCCCAAGAUGCUAGUGUCAUAAGUGCCUCUAGUGUUGCAAGAUCUCCUGGAAGGAAAAUAAAAGCAUCAGCAUGAUUAAGCAUUUCAGUUAUUCUUUCUUGCAUACCUGAGACGACUAACUCUUCUCCAGUUGAUGAGUCAGACGAACUGCCCAAUGGUUUUAGGACUCUUGGGAUGAUGCCUAACACUUGACUUCCUCUGAUAAAAGCUGCUUCUGAGACCAUUUUUGAUAACCCUCGGUUACCUCCUCCAUACACCAAAUGUAAUUUUCUCGCUGCUAUGCUUCGACCAAGAUCUAUGGCUGCCUCAACGAACUCUUUAUGUUUGCCAUAGGUAAAUCCAGAAAGCACACAAAUGUUCUUGAAUUGUCUAUUGGGAGUAGCGGCCAUUGUGAUACUUCUCAAAAAUAAUUUGUGAGUGCUUGACAAAAAAUAGAUCACAUUUAAGAAUCUUGGUGACAGUGGAUCACAGCUGUGAAUGAGGUAACAUGUCAGUGUGAAAUAACGCGUGAAGCACAUGGCUUGCGAGUCAAAAAGGAAACAGUAAAAAGGAAAAAGCAAACAGUAAUAAAAUUAUUAAAGACAAUAAUGCAAACAAUAAAACAACAGUGAAAUGAAAUAAAAUAACAGUAAAGUAAAAUGAUAUUUACACGUAGUUGCGACUGUGGCUCACAUCUUCCUCUGGUUUUACGUCCAGAAACGGCUUGAACGCCCUCUAUGGGUCGAGGAUGGGCUUCCCAUCCAGUUUUCUUAUAAACUGGCAAACAGGGUCGUUUAUAGUCAGAUUCCCGAGACUAUAUCGUGCAUGCUCUUUCUGGAAUAAUGGCCAUAACCGGAGAAUCGCUCCUUGCACAUAUCCACUGGGAUGCGUUUCAAGAGACAAAAGGAUAUCAUCCAAUGACUCCUUAUUCAAGCCAUCCCUAAUGAAUUGAAUCUUAUCUUCCCUGUUAUCAGACACCAUUCCUAAAGAACAUGGGUUUCUAUCGCAACUCAUUCUGGCACACUUAUGACAAGCAACAGAAAUUCUUCGAGCUCGUCGUUUUCUUGCAUAAUUGCCUUUACCACAACCAGGCAUGUAUGCAAUAAAUUUAUGAGGUAACUCACCUGCCAAUCGUACUUUAGCCUCGAUUAACCAACGGAUGUCUGCAGGUAUGUUAUUCCUCAUGAGCAAUCGCAUGCGUUCAGACCGGGCUUUAUAGAUUGUAAGGAGGGCAUUCUGAGGAAGUGAAGGGAAUCGCUUGUGAAGCUUUGCUAAAAUCUCGUUUCUAUCCAUACCUUCGCCUCAGAAUAUCAGUUAUUAUGGGAAACUGAAGUUAACCGACUUGAUUGUCACGGAGUACCGUUAUCCGCCACUUCACCGGGGUAACAAACUAAAGCACACAAACAGAAAAACAAAUUAAAACACACAAAGAAAAUUAAAAUCGUCCUCUUAUUGAAUUUACCUCAAGCUCCAACUGGAUGUCGUAAACACUUCUCUCAAUGUCUCUGAGUUGGCGUUCUAAACCCUCAACAUAGGCUACUAACUCUGGUGGUUGUAGAGCCCAAAUGCGUUGUGUUUUACAAAAUAGAAUCUGCCUUUUGAGAUGAGUUUUGACACGUUGAAGUGGUUUAAGAAUGUUCAGGAGGAACGGUCUAAGUAUGAGACUCAUGAUUAAAAAUGAUAAGAGAAAACUUAAUUGUUAAACAAACACACUUAUGCAAAAAUAAUUUCAAUUAGCAAAAGAAUAAUAAAAAGAAAGAAAGAAAAAUCAAAUCAAUAAAAAGAGAAAAAAAAAAUUAAUUCAAAUCUGGUGGGUCACUCAAAUUUAUUUCGGUGUCUUCUUCAUGUGGUUGGUACUCUAGAUAUGGCUUUAAUCUUUGACCAUUAACUUUAAACGUGACACCGUUCUUUGGGUCUUUAAUUUCAAUUGCCCCAUGUGGAAAAACAGUAUGAACAAUAAAGGGACCAGACCAUCGAGAGCGUAACUUACCUGGGAAUAGGUGCAAGCGAGAAUUGAAUAAAAGCACUUUCUGACCUGGAGUGAACGAUUUUCUCAUAAUUUGCUUAUCAUGGAAGACUUUCAUUCGUUGCUUGUAAAUCUUGGCAUUUUCGUAUGCAUCAUUGCGAAUUUCUUCAAGUUCUGCCAGCUGUAAUCUUCUUUCUGAGCUGGCUUGCUGCAUGUCAAAGUUGAAUUUCUUGAUGGCCCAAUAUGCACGAUGCUCGAGUUCCACAGGUAGGUGGCAAGCUUUUCCAUACACUAGCCUGUAGGGUGACAUCCCAAUCGGGGUCUUGAAAGCCGUUCUAUAUGCCCAUAAUGCAUCAUCAAGUCGUAAUGACCAAUCUUUUCUGUCUGGCCUCACCGUUUUUUCUAAUAUGUGCUUGAUUUCUCGAUUGGAGAUCUCAACUUGGCCACUGGUUUGCGGAUGAUACGGGGUCGCCACUUUGUGUGUGAUUGAAUACUUUGUCAAAAGAGCUUUGAAUGUUUUGUUACAAAAGUGGGCACCACCAUCACUGAUUAUCGCUCGAGGGAAUCCAAAGCGUGAAACAAUGUUGCUUUUCAAAAAUCCUAUCACCACUUUGUGAUCAUUGGUUCUGCAUGGAAUUGCUUCCACCCAUUUCGAUACGUAGUCAACACCAACCAAUAUGUAUUGAUGGCCAAAAGAAGGGGGAAAGGGUCCCAUGAAGUCGAUACCCCAUACGUCAAAAAUCUCAACCACUAAAAUUGGAUUUAGUGGCAUCAUGUUCCUUCGUGUAAUGCUCCCCAUUCGUUGACACCUAUCACAUGAAGAACAGAAAGUGUAAGCGUCUCGAAAUAUAGUUGGCCAAUAGAAACCACAUUGUAAAACUUUUGUAGCUGUUUUCUUAGCACUAAAAUGGCCUCCACACGCUUGUUCAUGGCAGAAUGAAAGGAUAUUUUGAAUUUCACUUUCUGGGACACAUCGCCUAACAAUUUGAUCUGCACAAUACUUGAACAAAUACGGGUCAUCCCAAAAGAAAUUCUUUAUUUCCGCAAAGAAUUUAGCCUUGUCUUGCUUGGUCCAAUGCUCUGGAAGUUUACCUGUAACAAGAUAAUUAACUAUAUCAGCAUACCAAGGUAAUACUUCCACAUUCAUUAAUUGUUCAUCUGGAAAUGACUCAUUCAAUAUUAAUGGAUCUGUAAUUGUGUCAAAAUGGAGACGAGAGAGGUGGUCCGCCACAACAUUUUCUGUGCCUUUCUUAUCCUUGAAUUCCAAGUCGAAUUCCUGCAAAAGUAACACCCAACGAAUUAGUCUAGCUUUUGCAUCUUUCUUUGUGAGAAGAUAUUUAAGAGCAGCAUGAUCUGUGAAUAUAAUUAUUUUACAACCAAUGAGAUAAGAUCGAAAUUUCUCUAAUGCAAACACUACUGCUAGCAUUUCUUUUUCAGUAGUUGAAUAAUUCAACUGUGCAUCAUUCAAUGUCAUACUAGCAUAGUAAAUAACGUGGGGAAUUCGAUCAACUCUUUGUCCUAAUACUGCUCCUACUGUAUAAUCAGAUGCAUCACACAUGAGCUCAAAUGGUAAGUUCCAGUUUGGGGCCUGAAUGAUGGGUGAUGAUGUCAACAACUGCUUUAAUUUUUCAAACGCCAUGAGACAUGAAUCAUUAAAGAUAAAAGGUACAUCCUUAGCAAGUAAAUUGCAUAAGGGUCUAGAAACUUUGCUAAAAUCUUUAAUGAAACGUCUAUAAAAACCAGCAUGUCCAAGGAAAGAUCUUACUUCUCUGACUGUUUUAGGUGGAGGAAGAUUAGAAAUGAGAUCCACCUUGGCUUUGUCAACCUCAAUACCUUUGCUCGAAAUGAUGUGACCGAGAACAAUACCUUGUUUUACCAUAAAAUGGCACUUCUCCCAAUUCAAGACUAAGUUCUUCUCGGUACAUCUCUGCAGAACUAGCGUUAGAUGAUGUAAACAUUGAUCAAACGAGUCACCAAAGAUAGAAAAAUCAUCCAUAAAGACUUCAAGGAAUCGUUCAACCAUAUCAGAAAAAAUGCUCAACAUGCAUCGUUGGAAUGUAGCAGGUGCAUUACAUAAUCCAAAUGGCAUUCUCCUAUAUGCAAAAGUGCCAAAAGGGCAAGUGAAAGUAGUUUUCUCCUGAUCUUUUGGUGCUAUGGGAAUCUGAUUAUAUCCUGAGUAGCCAUCUAGAAAGCAAUAAAAUUCAUGGCCUGCUAAUCUAUCAAGCAUUUGAUCAAUAAAUGGUAAAGGAAAAUGGUCUUUACGUGUGACAGAAUUCAACUUUCUAUAAUCAAUGCAUACACGCCAUCCUGUAGUUACUCUAGUUGGUAUCAAUUCAUUAUCAGCAUUGGUAACUACUGUGACUCCUGACUUUUUGGGGACGACUUGUACAGGACUGACCCAUGAACUAUCAGAAAUUGGGUAAAUGAUACCUGCAUCUAAUAGCUUAAGGACUUCAGUUCUAACAACUUCUUUCAUGUUAGGAUUUAACCGACGUUGCAUCUCCCUAGUAGUUUUAGCAUUUUCAUCAAGGUGAAUGUAAUGCAUGCAGUCUACUGGAUUUAUACCUUUUAUGUCUGCUAUGGUCCAUCCUAAUGCCCCUUUGUGCUCUUUUAACACAUCCAACAACUUACCUUUUUGUUCGUCAUUUAGGGAUGAUGAGAUGAUUACCGGUAGAGUGCUUUCUUCUCCCAAAAACGCAUAUUCCAAUGUGUUGGGCAAUUGUUUGAGCUCGAGUUUUGGUGGUGAUUCUGAUGAUGGGAUGAGUUUCUUUUCUGACGGUGCUAGUUGUUCUACUCUUGACUUCCAUUUAUUAGUGUCCAUGGAUGGUGCUGAGUCAAGUAGGGCGUUGACCUCUUCGACCGAUCUAUCAAUAUCAAAAUCCAAACCAAAGUGAGUUAAGCAUGUUUGUAAAGGAUCAUCACUAAGGUUUGAAAGAAAAGUAUUAUCAACUAUUGUUUCUAUUAAAUCCACAUCAACAAUUCCAUCAUCUGCACUGUGAGGUUGUUUGGCAAUGUUAAAGAUGUUUAGCUCCAUAGUCAUGUUGCCGAAGGACAAUUGCAUAUUUCCGGUCCUACAUUGAAUAUGAGCAUCUGCAGUUGCCAAGAAAGGUCGGCCUAGAAUAAUGGGGAUGUGCUUCCUUGAGUCCUGUAUUGGUUGAGUGUCAAUUACAAUGAAAUCAACAGGAAAAUAAAACUUGUCUACCUGGAUAAGCACGUCCUCCACAAUACCACGAGGUAUUUUUGUGGACCGAUCUGCAAGUUGUAACACCACUGGAGUUGGGUGUAAUUCUCCCAGUCCAAGUUUCACGAAUACAGAGUAAGGUAACAAAUUUACACUAGCUCCUAAAUCCAACAAAGCAUUCUCAAUUGUGUGGUUCCCUAUACUACAUGAGAUAGUGGGGGAGCCUGGGUCUUUGCAUUUUAAAGGAAUUUUAUGUUGGAGUAUAGAACUAACGUUUUCUGUUAAAAAUGCCUUCUUUUGAACAUGCAUAUUUCUCUUUUUAGUACAAAGGUCUUUAAGAAACUUGGCAUAAGAUGGAAUUUGUUUUAUAGCAUCAAGCAAAGGGAUAUUGACACUUACCUGUUUGAAGAUUUCGAGAAUCUCACCUGUGGAUUUUCCCUUCUUGCCUUUAGCUAACCUCUGAGGAAAUGGAGCUUUCGGAAUAUAUUCUCGUGGGUUGGUUUCUUCUCUCUCCUCCGGUGGUGAGUCCUCAGCAUUUACAGGUACAAUUUGAUUUUCUUUUGUCACCUGCAUCUCCACUUUAUUGUCGACUUCUUUUCUUUUUCUCAAGGUCAUUACUGCUUUGACCUCUCCAUGCUGCUGUGGUGAACUGGUACUUGCUUCAUGCACUCCUUUAGGAUUAGGCACUGGUUGACUCGGAAACUUGCCUUUCUCAACAGUCAUUGCCAAGGUCUGAACUGAAGAAGCAAGCUGUCCCACCAUCUUCUCGAGGCUUGAAACUGAUUGGGCUUGUGAAUUGAAGCCCGCUCUCAACUCAUUUCGUAGUCCAUCAAUGGUGCGAUUCUGUUGCUCAAUCGUGGAGUGAGUAACAUUCUUGAAAUUCUGGAAUGCAUCCUCCCAUGGUCUGGGUUGAGAGUAGUUCUGGUUUUGAUUGUAUGGUCUAAAUGGUGGCUGAGAGGCUUGAGGAUUUUGAGGAAUUGGUUGCAUUGGUGGAGCUGGAGCUGCUGGUCCAUUCUGUUGAAAUCCUUGAGACCAUGAAAAAUUGGGGUGGUCUCUCCAUCCAGGAUUAUAUGUGUUGGAGUAUGGGUUGUAAUUAGAUGGCUUUCUCAUUACACCUAUGGCAUUGGCUUGAUCGGAGUAUGAGUCAUGGUCAUGUGGUUCUGUUGAUUUAGCAGUCGAUAACGAUGCUAUUUGUCGAGCAAGACCUUCAACCAUCUCCUUGACUUCUUUGAUUCCCGAAGUUGACUCGCCAAUGUGAACCUCAUUCACUCCUUUAAUCCUUCUAGUAUUCCUGAGUGAUCGACUCCGUUGUUGGGAAUUAUCCGCUUGUCGCUGGAAGAAUUCCCAAAUCUCUGUUGCGCUUUUUGACAUUAGCUCUCCUCCACUUGUUGCCAUUAGCCAUUCUUGCACAUUCGGCAAUAAUCCCUCCAAAAAGUAUUGGCAUUGGUGCCAUUUUUCGUACCCAUGAUGUGGACACUUCAAGAGUAGUCCAUUGAAUCGCUCCCAAGUUUCGAAAAACUGCUCGUCCUCUCUUUGUGUAAACUCUGAAAUUUCCCUGCGAAUAGAAUUGGUUUUAUGCACUGGGAAAUAUUUAUUUAGAAAUUUUGUUACCAUUUGUUCCCAUGAUGAAAUGCUAUUGGCAGGCAAUGUAUUAAGCCAUGAACGAGCUCUAUCCUUUAAAGAAAAUGGGAAUAGUCUAAGUUUUACAUCAUCAUCUGAAAAAUUUUCAUAUUUAAAAGUUUGACAAAUAGCAUGAAAAUCAUUCAAAUGAUUAUAUGGGUCCUCAUUUUCUAGGCCAUAAAAUGUGGGGAGACAAUUUAGCACACUAGGUUUUAAUUCAAAACUCCUAGCAGCUACAUUUGGGUAUCUUAUGCAUGAUGUGCUCAAAUUAGCUAAGGGACUAAAAUAGUCCUUAAAUGGCCUCUCCUGUGGUGCUUGUAAAUCCAUUUUAUUUUUAACGUGUUUGUGUGUGCGAAGUGUUUUUUCUAAUUCAAGGUCUAUAGGUUCAAUAUUAGGUAAUAAUGACCUACGACCAUGCAUGCAAAAUAAAUAAAAUAAAAAUAAAGAUGCAAACAAAACAAAAAAUAAAGAUGGGAACAAAACAAAUAAAAAAUAAAGAUGAGAACAAAACAAAUAAAAAUAAAGAAGAGGGAGAAAUUACGAUACUAACCUCAUUGCGCUAUUACAACCUUACUAUAAAAAUACACAAAAAUAAAUACGUGAAAUAAAUUAACUAAAAAUUAAAUUAAUAAGAUAAACAAAAAUUACAAAGAAAAAAUAAAUUGAAAAUUAAAUUACAGAAUUUUAAAGAAGAGAAAAAGAAAAGAAAUACUAACCUUUAAAUGUAGAUUUACUCUUUUUUUUUAAAGAACAAAAAAAAAAAAAAAAUACAAGAAAACAAUUUAAAAUAAAUUAUUCACAAAAAUUAAUUCUAUGAAUUAAAACUACUUACCUCCCCGGCAACGGCGCCAAAAACUUGUUGUGCAAAUUUUAAUGUACUCGCAAGCGCACGAAUCUAUUGUAGUAUAGAUCAAUGGUGACGAGUGUCGAUCCCACGAGGAGGUGGAUUUUAAUUGUGUAUAGAAUUAAUUUUGUAAAUGGGUGGUUGGAUCUGUGGUGGAAAUGAAUUGGAAUAUGCUAAAACUUAAAUUAAAAUGGCGAGAAUAAAUUCUAAAAUUGGAAUUGCAAUGGCGAGAAUAAAUUGAAGAGAAAUGUAUUGAAAUGACGUACUUGGGUAUCUGGAUCCGUAUCAACAUGCAUCAUGGGCUAAAUAAUCCGUAUUAAUGCCAAUUAAAUCAUGAGGGGGGAAUCCACACCUCAUGAACCACGCUCUAAUCAAUAUGGUGCUAAGGGCUUAUCGUGCCAAAUAAUAAUAACCUUAUACUAGAGAGCCGGUGUAACCAAGGCGGUAUCUAGACAAGAUCAGUAUUAUUUGUCGACGAUAAGUCAAAUCAUCCACAAAAACUAGAGGGGAAAAGAAAAUAAAUUUACCAAAUAAAGCCCAUGACACAUGUUGAGACUUCACCUUCAACCCAAGCUUGAAAGGAAAUUAGCUACUCAUAAUUGAACUAGGGGCAAAAUGAAAAUUUAUUAAAAUACGAAGAAAAUACAAGAUGGAGAAGGAAUUACAGAAAAUGGAUCCCAAAAAUGGAUUCAGAGAUAUCAAAUUAGGGGGGGGAGGCCCCUUUUUUAUAGAUACAUGGAGUAAAUCAUGGCCAUCGGAUUAAAAACAGUUUGGACGCUCAGGAUUGCGCCACGUCAUCAGUCAACAGUCCACGGUUUGACCACGCGGAUGAACAGUAACACGGUUUGACCACGCGGAUGAACAGUAACGCGGUUUGGUUGAAAAUAAUCCUGUGUGAUGCAUGCACCGUACGCGAGAUUUUUCGUCCACUGAUAUGCUGCCACGUCACCAUCAACAGUACAUAAGAAUUUUAGUCCAACAGGAUCGUGACACCUCAUCAGUCAAUGCCACAUCAUCGGUCAAUGCCACGUCAUCGAUCCGUCUAUGUGAACAGUGUCGUGAACAGUAACGUAGACAGUACCGUAUACGUGAAUAGUACCGUACAUGUGAAUAGUGCCAUUUUUCUUUUUAUGCCCCUCCUAAGGUUUUCGACCGUCCUGAGUUCAAAAGUGAUGUCCGUUUUGCCAUCUGAUCUCUCCUUUAUUGUGAAAUAACUAUAAUGCCCCUAAAAUACAUAAAAUACUUAAUUAAAAUAAAACACAUGUAAUUAAAUCACAAGAAGGUUAAAUACAUAAAAGUAAGGGUUGUUAAUAAGACUUGAAAUGUAAAAUGACGGUUUUCUCCUUUAUAAAUAUGCAUUUUCUAACACUCAACACUAGUGAGGUUCCAUUUAGGUGUAUUGGGGUUGUGGGUUUUGUGAGUUUUUUCCACUUUUGUAAAUUCUCAUUAUUAGUAAAAUUAUCUUCCAAUCUUUGCCCGUGGACGUAGGCAUUAUGCCGAACCACGUAAAUUAUUGUGUUUAUAUUUUCUUUGUAUUUGUUUGGCACAUUUAUAUUUCUCCAAAAGUUACAUUCAUCGUAAUAUUGGUAAUUGCUCAACCUCGCACUUCCGCAACAAUUGGUAUCAGAGCAGAAGGUUCGUGCUUGGGGCAUACAACAUUGUUCACGUAUACGGAACUGUUCACAAAUACGGUAUUGUUCACGUAUACGGUAUUGUUCAUUGAUAUGGUGGAGAUGGUCAUUUAUACUUGGGAGACAGUCUAUUGAAAGUAGUGUGUAUUUUUUCAUGUCUAGGAAAGUCCUGUCAACAAGGCGAUAAAAGCUUAAGGAGUCUGGUUUUAAGUGGGACCGUUGUGACCCCUCCAUUCUCCUAGGAACUUUCCUGGUGCAUUUAUUCAUGCGAAAUAAAUAUCAUAGAGGCUAUUUUUCAAGUGUAAAUAGUUGUUGAAGAAACUGAUCAUUUGAGAUAAAAAUGAUGGCAGAGGCAUCGUCGUCGUCGUCGUCUUCAUCAGCAAGGACUACUGUGACUAAUGCAAAGUUUGAAGUGGAGAAAUUCAAUGAUACCAAUAAUUUUGGUAUGUGGCAAUGUGAGGUGUUGGAUGUCUUAUGUCAGUAAGAGUUGGACGUUACUCUUAAAGAAAAGCCUGACAUAAUGGAUGACAAGGAGUGGAUAAAGAUCAAUAAACAGGUAUGUGGUACUAUUCGCCUAUGUUUGGCUAAAGAUCAUAAAUACUUUGUUAUAAAGGAGACAUCGGCAAAGAAAUUGUAGGAGACAUUGGAAGAAAAAUAUAUGAAGAAAAGUAUAUAAAGAAAAGCCUUAAAAAUAAGCUUUAUAUGAAGAAGAAACUUUAUCUAUUCACAUAUACACCUGGCAUGUCGAUGAAUGACCAUGUAAAUUCAUUCAACAAAAUAUUGGCAGAUUCACUAAAUUUGGAUGAGAAAUUUGAAGAUGAAGAUAAGACACUGUUGUUUUUUAAUUCCCUUCCUGAUGAAUAUGAUCAUCUCACUACCAAUUUGCUUCAUGGGAAGGGCAGUGUCACAUUCGAUGUUGUAUGCAGUGCAUUGUAUAACUCUAAGAUCAGAAAGAAAGAUAGAAAAGAUCACAGAGAUACAGUUGUAGAAGCAUUAACAACUAAAAGUCGUUCACAAGGCUGUAAACUUGGAAAAAGAAGCAAGUCUAAAGGGAGACCUGCCAAAGAUGAGUGUGUUUUUUGUCGCGAGAAAGGACAUUGGAAAAAGAAUUAUCCUAAGUUACAAAAGGAUAAGGCUUCUUCUUAUGCAUGUGUAGCAGAGUAUGAUGAGGAGUCAGACUUUAGUCUGGUUGGCAUGACGUUGACAUGUUACUUAGAUGAGUGGUUUUUGUAUUCGAGUUGUGCUUAUCAUAUGUGUCCUAACAAGGGUUGGUUUUCUAACUUCAAGGAGCUGGACGGUGGAAUUGUUUUUAUGGGCAAUGACAAUGCCUGUAAAACCUUGGAAAUAGGUACAAUUCAAUUAAAAAAUCGUGACGGUUCAAUCAAAGUCUUGACGGAUGUUCACUACAUACCAAGUUUAAAGAAAAAUCUCAUCUCAUUAGGAGUCCUAGAAUCUAAAGGGCUCACAAUCACUCUGAGAGAUAGAUUAUUAAAGGUAGUAGCUGGCACACUAACGGUGAUGAAAGACACAAGAAGAAAUAACUUGUACUAUUUUCAAUGGAAUACAAUUAUUAGAUCAGCAUCAACAGUUUUUGGAAGAGAUGCAGAUUCAGAAGCAACCAAGUUGUGGCAUAUGCGUUUGGGACAUGCUGGUGAAAAAUCUUUACAGACUCUAGUGAAGCAAGGCUUAUUGAAAGGUGCAAAUUCUUACAAAUUAGAAUUUUGUGAACAUUGUGUUUUAGGCAAGCAGACAAUGGUAAUGUUUAGUUCAAUAAUUCACGAUACAAACUUCCUCGGGGGAGCAUUAAAACCUUCGAGCAGAUGUGCCAGGAAUUUGCAGAGCAGUUUCGUGGGGCAAUGGCACCAGAAGAUGCCAUGAUGGAAUUGAAAAACAUGAAGCAGGGGGAAUAAUAAACACUUCGGGAAUUCAUCAAGAGGUUUUACCAUGUUGUCCUUGAUUUGGGAGCCUUCAACCAUCCUCAGGCAUUAAGGGGACUGAAAGAAUGGGUGAAGAUAGGAAGACUGUGGUACAACUUGAGAAGCCCAGUUAUUCAGACGUACGCCGCCGCAUACAAGCAGGCUAAGAGGGACAUUGAGAUUGAAGUGGAAAAGGCAGCACGGAUCAAGACAGACCAGUUAGAUGGGUUGGGGAAGAAAGAGAAGAAAGCAUUGCCAGGGAACGGGCCGAUCAGGAGGAGAGACCUUCAGGCCUCAAGUAGUGGAGCAGGAGAUCGGGUAACUACUGGCCAUCCUCAUCAGAGGCCACCACAGUAUCGGCGCAGCAGGGCGCAACCUCCUCGUUCCCCAGCUAGGGAGCCUUGGAGAAGCCAUGACUCGGCAUAUGGUGGUCUUCAUCAACACUCCCACGGUAGUAGGGGGCAGACCAGAAGUGCUGCCACCGCCUCCAACUCAGAACGGAGCAAAUAGAGAAAAAGCAGUGCACCUGAUCGACCAGAACCAGGACUAUGGGCAGUACACUUCCUUAAAGAUGUUCCUGGACGAGGUGUACGAGGCCAUAAAGGAUCGAGGGUUGCUAUACCUCCCUGCCUCAAUAACAAAACUACCCAGCAGGAGGGAUAAGGGACGCUAUUGUAAGUUCUAUGGCGCGCAUGGCCGUACUACAACAGAAUGUAGAGAUCUAAAGACCCAGGUCGAAGAUUUGGUGAGAAAUCGAUACCUGGACGAGUUUAUAGAGGGGACUUUCCCGAUGGUGGCCUCGACAUGCGAGGGGGAGCAGAGUGGCAGAAAUUUGAGGCACGAGUAGCCUACAGUAAGGGUGAUUGCUGGGGGCCCGACAUUGGCUGGAGAUUCCAACAGAUCUAGGAAGAACUAUGCUAGAUACGCCAUGACUAGUAAAGAGGUAUUCUUCAACACCCCGGCAGCCAAACGAGCAAGAGUCAGGCAAGUGCCAAUCAUGUGGACAGACGAGGAUGAAAAAGGGAUUUUAUACCCACACGAGGAUGCCUUAGUCAUCAAGGCCACUGUUGCUAGCAGGAAGUUUGACCGGAUACUAGUCGAUAUAGGAAGCUCGGUUGAUGUGUUGUUCAAGUCCACUCUAGAGGAGAUGAGAAUAGCAGACCUGAGGUUGGAGCACACCAACACCUCCUUGAAGGGAUUUGGAGGAGGAAAGCUGGUCCCCCUGGGUGUGGUCGAGCUGCCUAUCACAAUCGGAAGCUCCCCGACAGAAAGGACUAUGAUACUAGAUUUUGUGGUGGUUGAUGAAGAGGGUCCUUACCAGAUAAUCCUAGGUCGGCUGUUUCUGAGGAUGAGUAAAGCAGUACUGUCCAACCAUUAUCUUGCUCUCAAGUACCGGGUGAAUGGGGUAGUUGGAGUGGUACGAGGAGACCAGAGAAUCGCACGAAGCUGUUACUCCUCGGCAGCAAAGGAAUCGAUACAGAUAACAUCCCUUGAUACCCGAGUGAAAGCCAGGAAUGGCAACUUAUUGGACUCGGAGUUUACAAGCUGGUUCGCAAGGACGGCCACGAGGUGAAAUGCCCAUGGAACGCAGCACACCUCCGAAAAUACUUCCAGUAAGACUUGUUCACAUUUGAAAGCUAUUUCUGCUCGUGUUCAUUAUCGUUUAUCUUUUAUGUUUUAUAUCCAAACAAUUUCAUGUAAGUCGAAUCCUGCCAUUAAUGGAACGUCGAGGAAUUUCAUUCGCUUGAAACUGUGAAAAUUUCCUAAGGCAUGCAAAGGCUCGUCAAGUCUCAAAGCCUGUUUAUGGCGAGACCAGAAGCCAAGCGUGCCAGGAUCUGCUCGGCCACGAGAAGGCGAGCAGAAUCCCAAGCUUUGAAGAAAUUACCUAAGGCAUGCAAAGGCUCGACAAAGUCUCAAAGCCUGUUUAUGGCGAGACCAGAAGCCAAGCGUGCCAGGAUGUGCUCGGCCACGAGAAGGCGAGCAGAAUCCCAAGCGUUGAAGAAAUUACCUAAGGCAUGCAAAGGCUCGUCAAGUCUCAAAGCCUGUUUAUGGCGAGACCAGAAGCCAAGCGUGCCAGGAUCUGUUCGGCCACGAGAAGGCGAGCAGAAUCCCAAGCGUUGAAGAAAUUACCUAAGGCAUGCAAAGGCUCGUCAAGUCUCAAAGCCUGUUUAUGGCGAGACCAGAAGCCAAGCGUGCCAGGAUCUGUUCGGCCACGAGAAGGCGAGCAGAAUCCCAAGCUUUGAAGAAAUUGCCUAAGGCAUGCAAAGGCUCGACAAAGUCUCAAAGCCUGUUUAUGGUGAGACCAGAAGCCAAGCGUGCCAGGAUCUGCUCGGCCACGAGAAGGCGAGCAGAAUCCCAAGCUUUGAAGAAAUUAUCUAAGGCAUGCAAAGGCUCGACAAAGUCUCAAAGCCUGUUUAUGGCGAGACCAGAAGCCAAGCGUGCCAGGAUCUGCUCGGCCACGAGAAGGCGAGCCGAAUCCCAAGCUUUGAAGAAAUUGCCUAAGGCAUGCAAAGGCUCGACAAAGUCUCAAAGCCUGUUUAUGGCGAGACCAGAAGCCAAGCGUGCUAGGAUGUGCUCGGCCACGAGAAGGCGAGCAGAAUCCCAAGCUUUGAAGAAAUUACCUUAGGCAUGCAAGGGCUCGACCAAGUCUCAAAGCCUGUUUAUGGCGAGAUCAGAAGCCAAGCGUGUCAGGAUCUGCUCGACCACGAGAAGGAGAACAGAAUCCCAAUCAUUGCAGAGAUUACCUAAGGCAUGCAAAGGCUCAUCAAGUCUCAAAGCCUGUUUUAUGGCGAGACAGAAGCCAAGCGUGCCAGGAUCUGCUCAACCACGAAAAGGUGAGCAGAAUCCCAAUCCUUGAAGAAUUGAAGGCAUGCAAAGGCUCGUCAAGUCUCAAAACCUGUUUAUGGCGAGACCAGAAGCCAAGCGUGCCAGGAUCUACUCGACCACGAGAAGGCGAGCAGACUCCAAAGCAUUCGAAAAAAUUCCUAAGGCAUGCAAAGACUCACCAAGUCUCAAAGCCUGUUUUAUGGCGAGACAGAAGCCAAGCGUGCCAGGAUGUGCUCGACCACGAGAAGGCGAGCAGACUCCGAAGCAUUCGAAAAAAAUUCCUAAGGCAUGCAAAGGCUCACCAAGUCUUAAAGCCUAUUUUAUGGCGAGACAGAAGCCAAGCGUGCCAGGAUCUGCUCAACCACGAGAAGGCGAGCAGACUCCGAAGCAUUCGAAAAAAUUCCUAAGGCAUGCAAAGGCUCACCAAGUCUCAAAGCCUGUUUUAUGGCGAGACAGAAGCCAAGCGUACCAGGAUCUGCUCGACAACUAGAAGGCGAGCAGACUCCGAAGCAUUUGAAAAAAUUCCUAAGGCAUGCAAAGGCUCACCAAGUCUCAAAGCCUGUUUUAUGGCGAGACUAGGAGCCAAGCAUGCUAGGGUCUGCUCGACCACGCGAAGGCGAGCAGAAUCCCAAGCAUUGAAGAAUUUUCAAAGGCAUGUGGCAAAACCAUGUGCCAAGCCAGAACCUGCUCGACCAGACAAAGACGAGCCGAUUCUCAAACGAAAAAUAACUCAUGAUUACGACACAAGAAAGUAAUCAAAAAUAUUUUUAUUAAUUUGUUAAUAAUUAACAGAGGAGAUAAUCUUCACAAACAUUGUUCAUUACAAUACAAGAAACAUAUUUAAGAAGAUGGUGGGUCCGCAAGCCGAGCAUCCUCAGUUAGAUGGUCCACCUCAGGUGCUGGGGGAGUAUCUCCAGUUGCGUCUGGGGGGGUACUCGCCUCACCAGCAUCAGCAGGGAUUACACGGGGAGGAGAGUUUUCCUCUUCUAUCACCAUUGGUGCCACCUCUUCGGCAUCCUCCUUUGCAGCCUCCUCGUCCAUAUGUUGGGCGACACCAGCUGCAAGGUCGUCCAUCUUUAGAUCAGGAUGCUGCUUCCCGAGGACGGCCAUGAUGCAACGAUAAGAAUGCCGAAGUCCCUGGUCGUACUGGUUGUCGGCCUCCUUCUCCAAGUUCUCGACCUGACCUCGGUGGGAAUCGCGGAGGGAUUCGAGCUGAGCCUCAUACAUAGCCUUCUGCCUUUGAAGAUCCUCCUUGACCUUGGCCAGCUCUUCCUCGAGAGUAAUAGCCUUGGCUUGAGCAAGAGAUUCUCGCUCAAUCAACUUCAGAUUCUCGAGGUUUAAGUCCCCUGCUUUCUUCUCAGCAACAUCAGCUCUGGUCGUCGCCGACUGAAUGUCCUCCUUCAUCUUCCUAUCAUAACGGCCAACCUUGGCCUUAUAGUAGGUGGUCAUGCAGCUGAGAUGGAAAGCGCUAUACUGCAUGGCCCCCACCAGCUCGCCUAAGGUGUAGCCAUCAAAGUCCUCGAGGUCCUUCUUGCUCACGAUUUUGGAAAGCUCGUUGAGAUAGGGGGCCAAGUGUUCUGCUCGGCUGUCAGGUAAACGAGAUCUAUGCCCGACAAGAGGCGAAGAGGAAGCAGGAUCAGUGGCUGCUCCACUGGUCUCGUCGAGUUUGGCAGAAAGAAGAGGUAAAGUCUUCAAGGGAGAGACCUGCUGCACGAUGUUGGCCCGCUUUGCAGUAGGGGCAUCCUUGUUCUGGUCCCUCUUCGUGGUUUGGGGUCGAGAACGUUUCCUGUUUAGAGCCCCAAUCACGGCGUCCUCCAUCUUAUGACCAGGGAGUAUCAAGCGAGACUCGAGCAAGUUGUAUGUAGUUAUCAGCUCCCGGCUCGAGCAGGAAUUGGCUAGCACAGCCUCGACCCGUUUGAGCUGGCCAGGUUUGAGCGAGAAAUGAACACCCCAAGAAACUACAACACAAACAGACACUUGGUUAGAGACAAACCAACAAAGCGAGAACAAUUACGGAUACAAGACAUCUAAAGCGAACAGGCAACCUGGGACCGUGAAACGGGGUGGAACGCGAUAAUCCUUCCCGUCUAUUUGUGCAACUUGACCCCAAGGACCCCCAGCAAAAAAGAAUUUCCUCUUCUAAUUCCCACCACCACCAGUAGGGAGGUCGGUUAUGGGUUUCCUGGUCUUGGUACUAGAUUGAAAGUAGUACCAGCCGGCAUCUUUGGGGCUGCUCUUUAGCUGGUACAGGUGCUUCACCUCAUCAACUGUGGACUCGCUUUGGCAACAUCUGUCCCACAAUAUGAACAGACCAGAAAGUACUCUCCAACCAUUUGGGUUCAGCUGACCAGGAGAUAGAUUCAGCCCGUUAAGUAUCCGGGCAAAGUAAGGUUGCACGGGACACCUCAGCCCAUACUUAAAACUAUCCAGAUACAGGGUAACGUAUCCCCUAGGAGGCCGGCUAGGAGUAUCCUUCUUUCCUGGGACCUUAAGAGGGAUUUCACCAGGAAUACUAUACCUAAGCCGGAGGUCAUUGAGCUCAUCAAACGUGGUUAUGCAUGUCAUGUAAUCAAUAGCGUAAUCCCGCGAUAGGGCUCUACCUCCUAUUGUACUCCGCCCUUCUGGUCGCGACGCUCCUGAUGGGGACACCUCGCCAGAAUCAUCUCCUCGGCCCUCACUCAGGGUGUUCUCCGAGCCAGAAGACCCCUCUUCAUCACUAUCUCUGCUCGAGGAGGUCGUUUACGGAGACAUCCUCCUAGCGCUAGUGCCGACACUAGAUCUAAUGGGCUCUAAGGGGAUCCCGGGGUCAAAAGCAGGAUCAGUGAGCAGACUAGGCAGGAAGUCCAACUCAUCGUCGUCAACCUCAAUGACCUUCUCUUUACCUUUCGACAUUCCCUAAACUCUAACCACAACACCACCACCAACUACUACCCGAACAAAAGAGAACAAAAAUUAUCUACAACUAUCCGAGACCAAGGAGAUAGAAGAAAUACCUGAAGUAAUGGUUCAGUCGGUGAAAGACAGAGAUGGAGGCCUUUAUGCCGGAACUUCUUUGCCGGAGAGACAGGGACGGAGACAGAGGGAAUGAUGAAUUUGCUGUUUGAAAGGAUUUAGGUUUCCUAAUGGGGACGGCCUCUUGGGUUGCCAGCAUUUAACGGCACCAAAUCCCAAGGGCCUCGUAACCGUUGGUUUGAAAUUCGAAUAGAGGGGCAGAUUUCUGCCACAUCACCUCGUCCGCAAUUAAAUGCGAUAUGACUCUUGGCAGCCUUUUCCAGUCCCACGCGACCAAGAACCGCUAAGUUUCUACUGCUGGUCCAUUACAUUACCCAACACCAGAAACUGGGGGACCGGUGUUUGAGGGAAAUACUCUGACGAGACCAGACGUGAUGAGCAGAUGUUUGGUGGUAGAAGUCUGCGAGCAGGUGUGUCCUGUAAGAGCCAGGUAGCAGGGGAACAGGGGCAGGAAUAUCCUGCUCAUCCACGAGCACGUCAUCCGCGAGGCCAAUUUCCUGUAAGAAGCAUAAAGCCAUUCCUGCUGUAUUCUUGCUAAGGGUUGAUUCGAGGAGACCCGGUCAACGACAGUUGGCGAGGCAUGCUCUCCAGCCCGAGAAUCUAGGCACGAAGGCCACGCAACCACCCACGACUACGGAAAUGGGGAAUCCACGUUCGAGAGGUGGGAGGAUAACGGACGUAGACUGCGGAAAACUGGGAUUCAGAGGAAGCCUAUAAAAAUGUAGCCAACGAAGGUAAAAUGGUUAGCAAUUUUGAGAUUAGAAGGGAGAUAAAGAAAUUCUAAAGAAGAGAAAACUACCCAAAAGCCAUAAGAUCUGUGGCAAGCGUUCCCCGAACCUUCAUAUCUGACUUGAGCGUCGGAGGGUUUGCGUCGGGAAAACAACCGGCGUACUCUGACUUGUCUGUGUGCGCAGGAACCUCUGGAGAAGAAGCUUUACGAGGAGAGAUCCUGGUCGUGGUGAAGUUGAUCGAGCAGAGACCCUGGUCGUAGAACGAGGAGAACCAGAAUCUCGCAUCAACAAAACGUGUAUUUCAACCUGAGUACUAGCGAUUACCAGUGACUGAUUAACACUUGUUUUAAUUGUAUUCAGCAGUCAUAAAAAUUUACUUUUUCUUGUUAUUUAUUUAUACCACACAUUUUGACUACCACAAACUUAAGUUGCUUGGCUGACGUAUUUACCACAAAUAAAAACUAACAUUCGAGGUUUUUCUUUCGACAUUUCUAUAGAUGUUUUAACAUUUUAGAUUACAAUAUUUUUCAAAACUUGAUUUAGUCACUGAUUGUUGACUACGACGACGACAAAAAAUCUAUUUCGUUGUGAAAAGGAAUCCACAAGAGUACAAGACGGAGCCUUGAUCCAGUAAUAUUACGGAAAAUGGUAUUUUGUUUCCUUACAAAUGAAGAGAGGUUCUGUCUUUGCAGUGGGUAAGGUGAGGGUAUAGAACAUAUUAAUGGCUUUACUUAUCAUCAUCAACUUCCUUCUGUGUCUCUCAAUCUUUGUCUUCUUCUUUGUUUUGCAAAGGAACAUAACCUCAAGAAAUAAUACUAAAUUACCACCAGGCCUCCGGGGCCUUCCUUUCAUCGGUAACGUGCACCAGCUUGAUGUCUCAAAGCCUCACGUGUUAUUUUGGGAACUGUCAAAAAAAUAUGGCCCCCUCAUGUCCUUGCGUCUUGGGUUUUCGCCAUCCUUAGUAGUUUCCUCGGCGAAAAUGGCUAAAGAGAUAUUACAAACCCAUGACCUUCAAUUUUGCAGCAGGCCAGCCUUGGUAGCACAACAAAAGUUAUCUUACAAUGGUCUUGAUUUAGCGUUUUCACCCUAUGAUGAAUAGUGGAGAGAGAUAAGAAAAAUUUGUGUCAUUCAUCUCUUUAACUCUAAUAGGGUACAAAAUUUUCGACCCAUUAGAGAAGAUGAAGUUUCAAGAAUGAUUGAAAAGAUUUCAAAAUCAGUUGGUGCUUCUAAUCCCGUAAACUUAAGUGAGGUAAUGAUGUCUCUUACCAGCACCAUUAUUUGUAGAAUUGGUUUUGGCAAGAGGUACGAUGAAGAUAAAGCAACAAGUGGAAGAAGUAGAUUCCAUGCCCUGCUUAAUGAAACUCAAGCCUUGUUUGUAAGCUUUUUUGUUACAGAUUAUUUUCCUUUCAUGGACUGGAUUGAUAACCUCAGAGGAAUGAUGAAACGCCUGCAAAAUAACUUCCAAGAACUCGAUGGAUUCUACCGGGAACUCAUCGACGAGCAUUUGGAUCCAAACAGAACUAAAUCAGAAUUGCCGCAACAGGAGGAUAUAAUUGAUAUUUUACUUCAAAUAAGAAAAGAUCGUGGAUUUAAAGCUGACUUGACUUUGGAUCACAUCAAAGCAGUGCUCAUGGUGAAUAAUUUUAUAAAUAGUUAUAUGUAGACCGGUGCUUAGGCACAGACUCAAAAUUUUGCGCAGAUACCCAAUUUUACAGUCUUGUAAAAUGUUUUAUAGUGCUGUCAAGUGCUCUCUGAUGUCCCCAUCUGAGCACGAUUAACUUAAUAUAGUUUUAUUUGCUUUAACUAAUCUUAUAUGUAUAUAUUUAUGUUCUUUUUUUUUUAAUUUGCUUUUUUAAGUAAUUUAAUAUGUAUAUAUGUAUGUUGUUUGUUUGGCAGAACGUAUUCGUUGCUGGAACAGACACGAGUGCUGCAACUGUGGUUUGGGCCAUGACCUAUCUAAUGAAGAAUCCUAGAGCAAUGAAAAAAGCUCAACUGGAAAUCAGAUCGCUGAUUGGGGGCAACAAAGGGUUUGUUAAUGAAGAUGAUGUUCAAGAACUACAUUAUCUUAAAGCAAUAGUGAAGGAGACGAUGAGAUUGCAACCCACAGGUCCAUUACUAAUCCCAAGAGAAUCAAUUCAAAAGUGCGUAAUAGAAGGGUAUGAAAUACCAGCUAAAACACUUGUCUUUGUAAAUGCAUGGGCAAUAGGAAGAGAUCCUGAAGUAUGGGAGAAUCCUGAGGAAUUUUAUCCGGAGAGAUUCGCUGAUAGUUCUAUUGACUUAAAAGGGCAACACUUUGAGUUAAUACCAUUUGGUGCUGGAAGAAGAAUUUGCCCUGGGUUGCAUAUGGGAAUUGCUACUGUGGAUCUUGCACUUGCUAAUCUUCUUUACAAUUUUGAUUGGGAAAUGCCGCUUGGAAUGAAGAGCCAUGACUUGGACUUUGAUGUUCUUCCUGGAAUUGCCAUGCAUAAGAAGAAUGCUCUUUCUCUUCUGCCUAAGCUAAGUAUCAUGAUGACUAGGUAAAUUAGGGUACCUCUACCAAUAAGUAGAUAAAAAAAUUAGGGAAAUUUACAACCGUCCACCUGUUUGUUUUGUCUUUUUCAAAAAUACACAAACACUUUUUUUUUUUUUCAGCGCGCCACCUGAAGUUCACUUUUUGUUGCAUUCUUCCACUUCCGUCUAAUUUCCGUUAGCAAAUUUAACGGAAUGACCUUUUUACCCCUCAAAAUUACAAUUUAACCCAAAAUAAAUAGAAAUUGGAGAUAAAUUGGAUGGAUUUAAUUUUUUUUCAAAGGUGGAUGCUAGAAAUUGGAGGAAAAUAAUGUUUGUUGCUUGCUAAAUUUAGAAAAUUUGUAUUUAUUUUUUUGGAGGAAAAUAGUGUUUAUUACUUGCUAGAUUUAGAAAAUUUGUAUUUAUUUUUUCUCUUUCAAAAAAAUAAAUACAAAUUUUCUAAAUUUAGCAAGCAACAAACACUAUUUUCCUCCAAUUUCUAGCAUCCACCUUUGAAAAAAUUUAAAUACAUCCAAUUUAUCUCCAAUUUCCAUUUAUUUUGGGUUAAAUUGUAAUUUUGAGGGUUAAAAAGGUCAUUUCGUUAACAUUCCGUUAAAUCUACUAACGGAAAUUAGACGGAAGUGGAAAAAUGCAACAAAAAGCAAACUUCAGGUGGCGCACUGAAAAAAAAAAAAGUGUUUGUGUAUUUUUGAAAAAGGCAAAACAAACAGGUGGACGAGUGUAAAUUUCCCAAAAAAUUAAGGCACCUCUAUCAAUAAGGGUUUGAUCUAAACGAAAUAUGUGUUAUAUGUCCGCAAUUAUGCUUCUCCUCUUCUCCCGUUUUUCUUUCUUUCUUCUUAUGUACAAUUAAUGAUGAUGCGAAUGGUGAUUAAUAAGCAAGUUUCUUUUAGUUCAAAAUUUUGGGAAGUAAAGGCUAGAAAAUAAUGGGAACUUUGCCCGCUCUCCUAUACCUUAAGAAAAGGGCGAAAAAAAAAAAGAUAUGAAUGUGAAUAUUAAUC